This 74183-nucleotide long non-coding RNA is filed under the name Nicotiana benthamiana. Its description in RNAcentral is "long non-coding RNA (NBEN_LNC019115)". The record is from RNAcentral. Lineage: Eukaryota; Viridiplantae; Streptophyta; Magnoliopsida; Solanales; Solanaceae.
CAGCAAGAACUUCUCAUCCACCAUGUAGGACACAUCUCUAACCUUCCGGUCCACACAACUCUUCUGAUGCUACUGCGCUGUGCAAAGCCUCUCCUGAAUCACCCUCACCUUCUCUAAAGCAUCCUACAGAAAAUCUAUCCCCAACAACCUAGCCUCGCUAGUCUCGAACUAUGCAACUGGAGAUCUACACCGCCUCACAUACAACACCUCAUACGGAGCCAUUUGAAUACUCAACCACUAGCUAUUGUUGUAAUAAAACUCUGCAAGCAGUAGAAAAUUAUCCCAUGAACCUCCGAAAUUAAUAGCACAAGCACGUAAUAUGUCCUCCAAUAUCUGAAUAGUACGCUCGUACUGCAUGUCCGUCUAAGCAUGAAAAGAUGUGCUGAACUCCACCCGAGUACCCAACUCUCGCUGAAUAGACUUCCAAGACUGGGAAGUAAGCUUAGUACCUCUCUCUGAGAUGAUGGAAACCGGAACACCAUGCAACCGAACAAUCUCCUGAAUAUAUAUCUCUGCCAACCGCUCAGAAUAAUAAGUAGUACAUAUAGGAAUGAAGUGCGCGGACUUGGUCGGUCGAUCCAUAAUCACCCAAAUAGCAUCGAACUUCUUCAAAGUCCUAGGAAGUCCAACAACAAAGUCAAUAUUAAUCCUCUUGAACUUCCGCUGGAGAAUAACCAUCUACUGAAGCAAGCCACCCUGUCUCUGAUCCUCACAUUUAACAGUCUGGCAAUUGAGACACCGAGCUACAACUCCCACAAUAUCUUUCUUCAUUAUUCUCCAAUCAAUAGUCCUGCCUCAAAUCCUGAUACAUUUUUGCGGCACUAAGAUGAAUAGAAUACUGCAAGCUAUGGGCCUCUCUAGAAUCAACUCUCUAAGACCAUCCAUAUUGGGCACACAAAUCCUUCUAUGUAUCAUCAACACCCCAUCAUCACUGAUGGUCACAUCUCUGGCAUUAUCACGAUAAAGUAUUCCCCUAAGGACAACAAAAUUCAGAUCGUCAUACUGGUGCUCUCUGUUCCGAUCAUAUAAGGAAGACCCAGACACACGCCAACACCCAACUAGGCUCUGAAAUAUCCGAUGUCAUGAACCGAUUGGCCAAGGCCUGAAAAUCAAAUGCAAGGGGUCUCUCCUCAAUUGGAAUGUAUUCCAAACUCCCCACACUCACGGCCUUUCGACUCAAACUAUCAUCAAACACAUUGGCCUUUCUCGGAUGAUACAAUAUAGUAAUAUCAUAAUCCUUAAGCAACUCUAACCAUCUCCCUACCUCAAAUUAAGAUGCUAUUGCUUGAAAAAAUGCUGAAGACUGCGAUGGUCAGUGAAUACCUUACAAAAUACUCCUUACAAGUAGUGCCUCCAAAUCUUUAGUGCAUGAACUAUGACGGCCAACUCCGAAUAUUGAACAAGGUAGCUCUUCUCAUGGGGUUUCCGCUGAUGAGAAGAAUAAGCAAUAAAUCUACCCUCCUGCAUCAAUGCAUAACCAAUCCCAACUCUCGAAGUAUCACAAUACACGGUAUAUGAACCUAAAACUGAUGGCAACACCAUUAUUGGAGUUGUGAUCAUGGAUGUCUUGAGCCUCUAGAAGCUCUCCUCACACUCGUACAACCAUACAAAUGAAACUACCUUCUGAGUCAACUUGGUCAAGGGUGAUGCGAUUGAUGAGAAUCCCUUAACAAACUAGCGGUAAUAGCCUGCCAACCCAAGAAAUCUAUGAAUCAAUGUGGCUGAGGACGGUCUAGGCCAUCUAAACGGCCUUUAUCUUCUUUGGAUCAACCUUGAUACCGUAGUUGGACACCACGUGCCCCAAGAAAGCCACUAAACUAAGCCAAAACUUACACUUAGAGAAUUUUGCAUAAAGCUUCUCCUCUCUUAACCUCUGCAAUACAACGCUCAAAUGCUCUGUGUGAUCCUCUUUACUACACGGGUACACCAUAAUAUCGUUAACGAAUACUAUAACAAACGAAUCCAGAUAAGGGCUAAAUACACUGCUCAUCAAAUGCAUGAACGCUGAUGGGCAUUAGUCAACCUGAAAGACAUAACAAUAAACUCAUAAUGACUAUAUCAGGUCCUGAAAGUAGUGUUAAGAAUAUAUAAAUCCCAAAUCUUCAACUGGUGAUAACCCGAAUGUAGAUCAAUCUUGGAGAACACCCUCGCUCCUUGAAGCUGGUCAAAUAAAUCAUCAAAGCGAGCUAAAGGAUACUUGUUCUUAAUUGUUACCUAUUUCAAUUGCCUAUAAUCGAUGGACAUUCUCAUUGUGCCAUCCUUCUUCUUCAAAAACAUAACUAGUGCACCCCAAGGUGAUAUACUAGGCCAAAUGAACCUUUUAUCUAGAAGUUCCUAAAUUGCUCCUUCAAUUCUUUCAACUCUGCUAGUGCUAUACGAUAUGGCAGAAUGGAAAUGGGCUGAGUGCCCAGCACUAGAUCAAUACCGAAAUCAGUACCCAUGUCAAUGGAAUACCCGGCAGGUUUGCAAGAAAUACAUGAAGAAAAUCCCUCACAACUGGAACACAAUCAAUACUAGAAGUCACGGCUCCAACAUCCCUCACAAGCACUAGAUAUGAAAGGAAACCCUUCCCAUCCAUAUGCCAGGCCUUCAAGAAUUAGAUCACUCUGCUAGGAACAUAACCAGUCACACCAUGCCACUCGAUCCGCUGUACACCUGGCAUAGCCAAAGUGACUGUCUUAGCAUGACAGCCUAAAAUAGCAAGACGCAGAGAUAACCAAUACAUGCCCAAAAUGACAUCUGAAUCCACAAUGCUUAACAGCAAUAGAUCCACUCAGGUCUCCAGACCCUCAUAGUCACUACACAUUGAUCGGUACACAUGAUAUACAAUAACAGUAUCUCCCACCGUGGUAGAUACAUGAAAAGGUAAAGUAAGGUACUCCUGAGGCAUACCCAAAUAAUGAGCAAAAUACGAGGAAACAUAUGAAUAUGUGUAACUAGGAUAAAAUAAUAUAGAGGCAUCUAUGUGGCAGAUUGAAACAAUACAUGUACUGACACCAUCUGAAGCAACAAUAGUUGUCCUGCCUGGAAUAGCAUAGAAACGAGCCCGGCCAUUGCUUGAUCGACCUCCCCCUUAAUGGCGACCCCUGGUUGUCUGACGUCUACCCCUAGCUGGAUGGGUAGGUGGUGAAGCAACUAGAGCAGAAGUCAAGGGCUGACCCAUCUGCUGAAAUGAGCUAGCAACACCACGAGGACACUGCCUCCAAAUAUGCCUAAUCUCCACGAACUCAAAACAACUCCCAGGAUCUAUAGAAGGGGACUGAAGGGAACCCCUCGCAUUGGGGUCACUAGCUGAUGUACUUGGGGCAGAAGAACCCUAAACAUAUGGGGCAUGAGAUGAACUCUGAGCUGGGAGGGCGGUGAUUAAUGAUUGGCCCUACUGAACCCCAUGAUAACCACGACCUGAAGAUGCCCCGCGAUACUCUGGACGGGCCGACUGAGCGGGCUUGAAAGAACGACCUCUACAAUGCUAUAACUGGCCCCACGUAGGAGAACCACUAUAAUUAUCUGAUCAUCGAGGCCUCUUGGAAUCCCUCUCCUCUCGAUUCUAACGGUGAAUCUUCUCAAUAUGGCCAGUGAUAUCAACCAUCUUCUCGAACGUAGCACCCAAUACUCACUCUCUCUCUAGUCAUAAGAAUAUGUAGAUGGUAGUUAAGGCCAUCCACAAAUCUCCUAUUGCUCUCGCGAUCUGAUGGAAUCAUCCAGAUGGCUUGCCGAGUCAACUUAGAAAACCACACCUCAUACUUGGACACGAUCAUAUCCCCCUGCUUCAACCACUCAAACUGCCUACGAAGCUCUUCCCUAGGGAAGUGCGGUACGUACUUUUCCAAGAAGAGAGCGGAGAGCUGAUGCCAAGAAAGGGGUGAUGUACUUACAAGACUACGCCUCUAAAAAUCUUCCCACCAAGUGAAGGCAGCCCUUGAGAACUGAAAGGGGGUAAAUGCCACACCACUAGACUUAAGAAUCCCUGUUGUAUUGAGCAUCUUGCUGACACCUGUCUAGAAAACAUUAGGCAUCCUCUUCCUCAACACCACUGAAUGAUGGAGGCUAAAGCCUACCAAACCUCUCAAGAUGACACUACUCAUCAUCCGGCGUAGCUGGCAUGAACUCCUGAGCUGGUGCAACCGGCUGGGCUGUGGUGUCCCUGGCAUCUGUAGUCGCUGCACCACCUUCUCAGUUGUGCGAGCAGCGGGGUCUGAUUGCCUCCUCCGGUGUGAUAAGUAGCUUCUAUGGUAGUGGAUAAAACUUCCUAGCUAGGCCAAUGCAAAGUGAUAAGAUCUGUGCCAUGGCCUCCUGAAGACCCGGGAUCACCACGGGCAUAGUUGGUGCCUGAACUGGUGGUAUUAGAGCAUCCACAGCCGGAGCGUGAUCCUGAGCUGGGGUAACUAGUGGAUCAACAGGUGUUUCCCUCGCUUCUCUACCUUUGCAAUGACCACAACUGUGUCCUCGGCCUCUAGUCGUCUCACUGGGUGGCACUAGUAGUCGUCCAUCUCGUCAGGUAGCUCGUGUCCUUGUUGAUACCAAAAUUUCCCUAUAAAUUUCUUGUACCUAAAUACUUUCACAAUAGUAUAUGUAUGCAUAUAUAAGCAUGCAUAAUAAUUUUGGUAUUUUUCCUUAAUUUUUAAAGAUUUUUAAAAUCAAUUUAAUGACUAUUUUUGACAAUAUAAAGGCUAAAAUUAUUUCCAAAUUAUUAUUUUUAGUGCACAAUGUGUUUAAUUCUCAUAUUUAUAGCAAAACAUAUUUAAUGUAGUUUUUUGCACAUUUUUUACAAAUUUAUUUGGAUUUCUAAAAGUUAAUGCACAAAAUUGCAAUUGUGGCCUAUUUUUCAAUUUGUUAUGUUUUAUAGCUAUAAAAUUAUUUAUAUUAUUUCUAGAAUAAUAUUUAUAUGUUAUUAAGCAGAUUUAUUCUUUCUAUUUAGCUUUUAAAUUAUUUUAUCUAUUUUAUAAAAUUAAUUGGGAAAAGGAGGCUAUUUAAAUUAUAGCCAGAUUUUAUUUACAACAUGGUCCAAAUUCAACCCCCCUCAGGUCAGCCUAAUUAAAUGACCUAAUUUGCCAAAUAACCCGAAUCAGACCCAUUUAAACUAACCCACCCGGGUCCCUCUAUAAAUCGCGGUCGUUGAUCAUUUAAAGCAACGGCCCACAACAGCCCUUUCCUUUGUUAACCCAAGAUCACCCUAACCCUACUCCCAUUCUCUCAUAUCUGCCGCCCUUGUAUCCCCUUCGUCCCCAAAUGCUCUAAAUCACUAUCCAAACCCUAGCCAUCUCCGGCUGCCGACUUAUCUCACCGGAAAAUAUGGCUUCCCAAACCUUGUACAACCUAUGCUCACCCCCCACUCCCUUCUAUGGCUCCUCCGUUCAAGGAUCAAAACCAUACCUUAAAAGUCUCCGGUUCAUAAGACCUCUGAUUCGAGUUUAAUGGCUAUUUUUGGCCUCUCUCAAGCGAUCUCUAGCUUUGUGAGUUCGUUUCUGAUUCAAAGCCCUUCCGUUCCGGGCCUUUCUCAUUUUCCUAGACCCUAAGCUUCGAGAUUUUUCUUCUUAUUUUCUAUAAGAUCUGCUCUGGAUCCGUGAAUGCUAAGUGUUUUUUUAUGUUUUUUCGAUUUUACCUUUCAAAAUUGUUUGUCUUCCUAAAACUAGGUUUUCUCCGGUGUUUCUUUUGUUAACUACUCUAACGUGAUUUCUUUGUUUUUCUAUGAAUUUUGGAUGUUUUACAUGUGAUUCCAUGUAAUUUUUUGCCUAAGUUUUCUCCCAUUCCUUUUUUUUUAACUUCUCUACUGGGAUUUAUUUAGUUCUUGCUAUGACUUUCAAAUGUUUUCGUCUACCUAGGUUUCUAGUAACUCUCUACUGUAUUUUGCUUAAUGCGAGUAUUUUUCUUCUCUCUAAGUUGGUUUACCUGAGUGUACUUUCACUUUAUUCUAUACACUGUGAAAUCUUAGGAAACCCUAGACUUUGGGGUUUUCGACUUUGUGCCUAUUGCUUAUCUGAUUCUUAGACCCUAAUGUAUUUGAGUUUCUUUCAUGCUUCUGAGUUCUUGCUAAGCUUUGCAAGAACUCUAAUCCAUUUCAUGCCUAUGCUUGUGUUCUUUCUGAUUAUCUGACUACUCUGUCAAUCGUAGCCUCGCCUGCUUGAAUUUGUGCAUCUCUUUAUAGUCAUAUUUUCCUUUCAAAUAACUCUAACUUUUGGGGUUUUAAUUUUUUACAAACUUAUUUGAUUUUCUUACCUAGACUUGUUUUCGGAUUGUAUUCGAAUACCUGUUCCUGCUUUUCUGCUUUCUGAUUAUGUGACUACUCUGUCAAUCCUAGCCUCGCCUGCUUAAUUUGUGCAUCUCUUUAUAGUCAUAUUUUCCUUUCAAAUAACCCUACCUUUUGGGGUUUUGAUUAUUUUUACAAACUAAUUUGAUUCUCUGACCUAGACUUAUUUUUGGACUGCAUUCGAAUACAUGUUCCCUUGAUUCCCUGUGUAAUUGAUGACUCAGUUUUCCUUAUUUGUUAAGCCGCGUGUAUUAAAAAAACCUAUCUGUAUUUAACCUCUGUUUUACAACCCAUUCUUGAUUUUAUUUCAAAAUUUGGAACAUUAUUUAAUUAAGUAAGUCUGAACCCCUUAAUUAAAGAGAAUUCUUUCCCUAAUCGAUUUUGAUUGAUACUAAUUUAUUUUCCUUCCUUCUUUACUACUUACUUUCAAGCUAUAAACCCCCUACCUCUCUUCACUACAGACACAAAAAAACUCUCUAUUUUCUUCCCUACUCUUCUCUGUUUCUAAGUGUGCUGCUCGUGUUAGCCGGCUGAAAGCCAAGGCUAACUAUAAGAUCCUAUUUUUUCUAUUUGUAUUGCUGUUUGAAACUUGCAACUGGUAGGUUCCAUGAUUUAAACUAUGUGUUUACUUAUACUUUUCAUAUGUCUAUUUAUGCUUUAUUUCCCUACAUCAUGCAAUUGAACUUCAGCAUAUUACACCCCUUCCUCACAUUCUCCUGUCUUUAAAUCUAUUAUUUUCAUGCACAUCCCUACCCCCAUAUUCCCAUGUGUUUAAUUCUGUUAUGUUUGGUAUUUGUUACCUUCCUGCACAUCCGUUUCCCCAAACCCCUUUCUGAUUAACUAUGUUCUGUUUUAUGCAAAUGCUUUAAUAUUUGAUCCCUUUCCCGACCCUUUGUUGUAUGUGACUGUUAUUUUGGACUAGAGUGGUACCCUAUUUCCACCUCUAGUUUAGAUCCAGGUUGUUCUCAACCUAUACUCAAAGUAAUCCCACUCCCCUAGCCCUCCAUUAUGUGUUGAGCUUUGACUCAGGUCUGUUGGUUCCCUAAUCACCAUACAGGCCUAAGUUUGACUUCUUUCAAGUCUGCUCUUACUUGUUCAACCAUGUAAAGGGCCACGGGUGUGCCAGUCUCCUUCAUAGCUAGAUAUGACCACCUUUGCGUUGGUUAUCCUCUAAUCUUUCACCAUUAAACUCAUUCUUUGUCUCUUAAGCUCUGCCCUCCUUUGGUAAGCCAUGCCUUGGGACCCUUGAGCUCCCUCUGAUCUCGAAUGCCUUAGGGCUGGUAUUUCCUCAAUGCAUUAUUUGGCUACCCUAAGUUAUUCAGGGUGUUAAGCACUGUCGGGAAUCCCUGAGAAUCCUUGGAACUCUUAAAACACUUUGAGUUGAGAAUGACUUGGAAUUUGGAAUCUGAAUUUGGUAAAAUGCUUGGUUUGGACAUUAAAGUUGCUUUGAGCUUCUUCUACUUUUAUCUAAACUAUGCCUUUCCCCUUUUCAAUUCCCAAGUUUCAUGAAUAUUUAUAUGCAAACCUUACUUGUUUAUUUGCAUUAUCUCUCAUUAAGUCACAAUUAGCACUGCCGGGAACCACACUAGUGGAUCUUGAGGGGUGCCUAACACCUUCCCUUCGAGAUAAUUUCAAGCCCUUACCCGAACUCUGGUCUUCUUUUCAAAAUACUCUCUUCUUCAUAAAAGUGUCCUAAUGCACUAUGAUCAUUAGGUGGAGAAUCUUCAACAGCCCUUACCCGAACUCUGGUUUUCUUUUCAAAAAUACUCUCUUAUUAUUAAAAGUGUCCUAAUGCAUUAUAAUCAUUAGGUGGUGACUCUUCAACUUCUAAUACCCAAUUCCCGAACAGGAAUAAGAGUUGUUUUGUCCAUAACAUCGUAAACCUGAUUUUGCUUAUCUUUAGUAGUCGAAAAAGGUGGGCGUCGACAGCAUGGCGACUUUGCUGGGGAUAUCUUUAAGGCGUUUACCAGUACGUGCUUUGUGACUUUAUUACUUUCUUUACUGCCUUUAUUUACCGCUUUAAUUAUUUCUUCAUAAUUACUAACUUGAUUCUUCAUGUUUUUUUUCUUUUCUGUUUUACUACUUUAACUUCAUUUCAAUUCCGUGUUAAAUUUCAACAAUCUAUUGUAAUCAUUAUCUUAUGAACGUGAAAAUACAGGUAUUUAUUUCAUUGUUGUAAUUGCAUCUUUCAACAUCAUGUUCCACUCGUGCCAAACAAAUCCUAUAGCAACGCAUAUAAUGAUUGGUUGCGCUCUUCCAAUAAUACGAACCCGCUAAAUGUGGCAAAGGCAUAUUUAUGGUAAAACCAGUCGAUCAACGGUGUAGUCGACGGUUCCGUGCCUUUCCCUCUUGAGUUGUCUGCUCAAGGGUACCUUGUCUAGCACCUCAAAGGUAGAAACCUUAUUCCGUUAUACUGUUCAUGCAUCAUGUUCAAACGGACAUUCACGUUAUGUGCAUUGAUUUGGAGAACCAAAAGCCUUUUGCUAAUUAUUGAUUAAAAUAGUCGAGUCCGGUGGGGUUAGGGCCUAACACUCUAUUUUGCAGGAAAUGAGGCACGAGGUCCCCAGAUUCGGUAUGGUAUCAAACAUUCACCCAAAGUUACUAAGCUGGUGGGAGAAUCUGCAUUGUAGUGAUCGGAUUCUUGUCCACAAGUACUUAGGUAAUCUUCCUUCACUCCUGGAAGUUAAGCUAGAUAACAAGAUUGUGGAAGCUGCUACUCUAUUUUGGGAUAGUGAAUGGUCUGUCUUUCGCUUUAGGGGUAUUGAAAUAAUGCCGUUGUUGGAAGAAAUUGGGGGUAUAGCGUGAAUUUCUUGGGAUAGCCCGGGGCUACAUAUGCCAAAAAACUGGAAAGGUAGAGGGAUCCUAAAAAUGAUGGGACUCAAAAACAAUCCUAAUCUGACCAGUCUGAAGGACUCCUACAUAUCCUUUGACUUCAUAUAUGAAAGGUUCGGACAUAGAAAAUUCAACCGCACUCACAUGGACGAGUUCGCCCUCACCUCGUUGGGGUACAUACACAAGAUAGCCUUUGUAUUCAUGUUCUGUUUCCUGUGCAUGAUGGUCUUUCCAAUGAAGAAGGCUAGAAUCCAUACAAGACUAGCCAUGGUAACCAAAGCGAUAAUUGAAGGUAUCGACGGGCAGGCAAUCAGCAUACCACCCAUGAUACUCGCCGAAUUGUACCAAUACUUAGAGAAAUGUCAACAAGGGGAACCACACUUUGAAGGGUGCAAUUUGCUACUACAACUCUGGCUUAUUAAAUAUCUCUAGAAGGGAGAUUAUAGACAAGAGAUCAUACGCCGAAACUGGGAUGACCAUAUCGCUUUCAAUCAUCAAAAGCGAAUGCACUUUAUGCCAGAUAUGUUCGCUCGCCCAGAAGACGCUAGUGGAUGGUUUAUAGACAGGAGAUCGUACGACGAGAAUGGGAUGACCAUAUCGCUUUCCAUUAGCCAAAGCGAAUGCACUUCAAGCCGCAUAUGUUCGCUCGCCCGGAAGACGCCAGUGGAUGGGUAGAACUAUUGGAGAAUCUCAGAGAAGAGCGGAUACAAUGGAUGUACGAGUGGUUUCCAACUGAGGAUUUUAUCAUUCGAUCUACGGAUGCGCCAUUCAUCGGCUUAGGAGGAACUUACCCUUAUUUCCCUCUUCGAGUCAUGAGGCAAGCAAGAAGAAAGCAGAUUAUACCAAAGGUAGAAAAGAUGAGUCACUAUAGGGCUGACUUCCAAGAUGACGAUAGCCCAUACAGGUGUCUGCAUAUGUGGCAUUCCAAACUCAUCUUGGGAAAGGAAUCUAUGGAACGAGACAGGUAUCAGGCGGGGUAAGCGCAGUUUUAUCUAGGAUAGUUAUAAGAUGGCCAUAUCGGCUUGGGAAAAAUAGGUUUCGUCCAUGGUCACAGGGUUAUUGAUGAGAAGACUGCAGCAAAGGUCAAGUACAAUCAGCUAUGCAAACGGAUGCGAGAGUGUGAUAAGUGAACAUCGGGAAAUACUAGAGGCCCAAGAAAAGCUAAUCAAUGAGUGGAAGGACAUGGUUGUCUGUGCAAACAACCGUUUAGGGUACUUGGAGCGGGGUUUAGUGGAGCUGGAACGAAAAUUUCUGAAAAUGAUCAACGACUGUCAGGAAGCUGAAGGUAACGAAGGUGGGCACUUGGCCCGGGCUUACUUGUUGCUGGGACUGCGCGAGUUGAUGAAGCUGUACGAGGGAGGCAAAGAUACCGAAUCUGGGGAAGGUCCUUCUGGGACCAUGUAGUUAGGAGUUUUACUGCUUCCUUGAUGUAAUAAGGCCACUGGCCAUUAGUGACAAUUUCUCUUUAUUUCAAUUUGUUUUGACUCGUCUAUUUUCUAUCAAUAAAAUGAGGCACUUGGUGUUAUAAGUUCUCAAAAUUAUAUCUGUCCCUAAGCCUUUCUCGGAUACAACGAGGCACCCAAAUAGGAAACAACUUAUAUUCUUGCAACAAUGUCUUUAGAUACCGCAAUAUUUUCUUUAUCAGAAUCCGCACUAACUUUUUACCUUUUUGUUUUUCUUUUAUUUCUAUUCCCCUCCCGAAAGGUUAGUUCGUUCAUUAUGGAACCAUCAACAUAUUCCACAAGAUCAAAGGGUCCUCCACCUCCUCCUCCUCCUAGUACUCCCAGAAACAGGAACAAGAACAAAAUGAAAAGAUACCAAUGCUAGAAAGGAAGUCGGAGAGGCUUCAAUAACCAAUGAAACUGUUGCUCAUCUCGAGCAAAUUUUGCUAAGGUUUCGAGAAGAGUUGGAACAAGUCUGAAACAUUGCGAUUCUGUCGAUCACACUUGUUGCUGCUGAUGCCAACAAAUCACCACCGCCGCCAACUCAGCCUGCUCAGAACCAAGUCCACAACACAGGCAACAGUGCUCCACUACUUAUCUUAGAGCCCCAAAACACCCCAAGAUAACAAGAACGCUCCCAUCUUUGUGGAUACUGUACCACAUUACGGUCAUCCAGUCACCAAUGUAGCCGAGUCAGACGAUAAAAGCUCUGUCAUUCAGAAUCUGGCUGCUGAGAUUAAGAAGUUGACCAAUCGGGUUCAGGGUUUUAAAAGUCACAAGGGUGUUGAAGGUUUGAACUACUAAGAUCUCUGUGAUCAACCUGACGUUGAGCUUCCAGAGGGGUACAAACCUCCCAAGUUCGAAUUGCUCGAUGGUACCGGGGACCCCAAGGUUCACUUAAGGAUGUAUUGUGACAAGCUAGUAGGAGUUGGUAGGGACGAAAAGAUCUGUAUGAAGCUAUUUAUGAAGAGUUUGAAGGGUGAUACCCUGUCAUGGUAUAUUUUCCAAGAUGGGAUGAAAUGGACGAGUUAGGUGAACAUGGCGUCCGAUUUCAUAGACCGUUUCAAGUUACACACUGAGAAUGCGCCAGAUGUGUUCUAUAUCCAGAAUCUUAAGAAGAAGCCUAUGGAGACUUUUCGCGAGUAUGCUACUCUUUGGAGGUCAGGAGCUGCUAAGGUCAGACCGGCCUUGGAGGAAGAACAAAUGAAUAGAUUCUUUGUCCCUAUUCAAGACCCACAGUACUAUGAAACAUUGAUGCUAAUUGAGGGUCAAAAGUUCUUCGAUAUCAUCAAAUUGGGAUAAAGGAUCGAAGAAGGCAUUAACAACGGUAUGGUAACUAACCUAGAGGCAUUGCAAUCCACCAACAAGGCUCUACGGUAUGAUGGCUCGACAAUGAAGAAAGAGGUAAAUUCUAUAAUGGCUGCGCAAUGAAACAACUUUCCAAUGAAGUACCAAACCUAUCCUUCAGCUCCACUCACACACCAGCCUACCCUAAAUUGCCAAGCACCAUCACCUACGUACCAAAUUCCACCACCUGCUUAACAAUCACCUCCACCACCCACAUACCAACCCACUUCACACCGAUAUUCCCAACCUGCACCCGUAUACCAAGCAUAUAACUCCCAACCUUCUCACUACCCAUUACCACCUACUCGCAAAAAUUUCCAUCGACCUAGACCAAUCUUCGACCGCAAACCUCCUAGAUAAUACACCGCCAUAGCUGAGCCAGCUGACCAAUUGAAUGAGAAACUUAAAGCAACAGGUUACGUCACACCUAUCCCGGCCGUAACUCCAGAAAACCAUUCCCAGUGGAUUAAACCAAACAAUACUUGCGCAUACCAUUCCCGGAUGAAGGGACAUACCAUUGAUGAGUGCCUCUCAUUAAAAGACAAAAUUCAGAACCUGAUUGACAACAAGAUUAUCAUAGCAAAGGAGCCCGCACCUAAUGUCAACAACAACACUCUGCCUGAUCAUAAGGGUGGAGGCAUCCACAUGAUUGAGACCAAAGAUGAUUGGGACCCCAAAGGGUCAAUUGGUUUAAUAGCUGAAAGAGAUGAGCCCAAGAAGUCGGCGGUUACUCUCAGUCCUAUUAUUGUACAAAUCCAGCCGUCUGAGGGUGACGUGAAAAAUGUAUCCCUGCCACUCGAACUUGAAGUACCUUCCGCAAAGACACCAAAACCGAUUGAGGUUGAGUUUGGACCUCCGAAACCACCUACACCAUUUGAAGUUGUUGUGUUACCUCCUAAGGGACCUAUUCCAGUCUGCAUGACAUACAUGAAUCCAUUCCAAACAAAUGCUAUAGGGACUACACAGCCGAGGCGAGAAGGAAAGGAAAGACACACAUUGUACAAGCAACUGCCGCACAGGGCAUGACUAGAACAGGCAAGGUAUAUACACCAGAACACCUAGCUGAGUCCAGCAAACAGGCCUCUGGACGUCUCGUUGAAACCGUACCAAAUGAUCUCUGGAGAAAGAUACAAGAUAAGGAGUAUUAGGUCAUUGAGCAGUUGAACAAAACUCCGGCACAAAUCUCCAUCUUGGCACUUCUAGAGAGUUCUGAGGCACAUAAAAAUGGCUUGAUGAAGAUACUAAGUGAAGCUUAUGUUCCCAUCAACAUAACAGGAGGCGAACUCACAGAUAUGGUGGGACAGAUACUGGAAAUCCAUAAGCUCACCUUCCAUGAAGAUGAAUUGCCACCAGAAGGACUUGGUCACAAAAAAGCAUUGCACAUCACCGCGCAUUGCGAGAAUCACUUUAUCACCAGGAUUCUAGCCGACGGGGGAUCCAGCCUCAACAUUUUUCCGUUGGUGACCCUCAGGACAUUGGGCAAAGGGUUGCACGAGAUCAAAGACAGGGCCAUUAAUGUCAAAGCUUUCGAUUGAUCUCAGAGGCCACCAUUGGAGAAAUCAUCAUGUGCCUGCAGAUGGGGCCCACUUGGUUUGAUGUUGAGUUCCAAGUCAUUGACGAACCCGCAUCCUACAACUUAUUGCUAGGAAGACUUUGGAUUCACGCUGUUGGAGCUGUGGCGUGAACAUUCCAUAAAGCCGUGAAAUUUGUGUGGAAUCAUCAAGAAGUAAUCAUUCAUGGUGAUGGUAGCAACCCCAUAUACAGUCGCCAGGCUAUCCCGAUAAUCGGAGGAAGAAGAAAAAUAGGUGGACAAACAUACCUUCACAUCGAGUGAGUCAAUGCCAUAGACAAGGAAAAAUGGUGGUAUAGUAAAAUUGAAAGCAUUUUGAAUUGGAGCGGGUAUGAGCCCAGAAGAGGGCUUCGCAAGAAUCUUCAGGGAUCACCAAGCCCAUCCAUUUGAAGAAGCAUGGGACUUUUUUUGGCCUGGGUUAUGAAUACACUUGGCAGGAAUUCAAGGACUGGUCACCACCAUGGCGCGGACCAUACUAUCCAUUGGAAUACCCCAUACCUCAAUUGGAGCAGACAUUUCAGCCAGCCGACACUCUCUACGGGUUAGAAUAAGAUGAGACGCUGGCAGCCAUGAAGAACCUGUUUCUGGAAGAGGAUAUGGAUUGUUGUGUUACCUUCGAGGAGGAAGGGGAGGAAGGCCCUUCAAUUUACGCUGCGAAGCGAGGGGAGCGCCUCACCAAUUGUUCAAUCAGGACCACCGUCGCUGUAGAGCCACAAGGUAGCAAGGCUAAACGACGCAUAUGCAUCGCAUUUUACUUUUUGUUGAUUUUACUUUUCUGUAUUGUCUUUACCUUUGAAAAGAGCUCCAAUGUUUCAGACAAUUAUGAAUUUAAUUAAAGCAUUUUCUAAGUUUAUCUUUAUAUUUCGCUCUCAUUUAUUUUCUCUACCAUUUACAUUAUUUCACACAGCAUUACUAUUACAUAUCUUGUUGAUGAACCCAUUACUGUAACUUGAAACGAGACAAUGCGACAAACGGACAUAGAUUCAGAAGAGGAUGAAAUACCAGAAGAGGUUGUUAAAGAGGUAGAAAAUUUCGAGAACAGACCUAAGUCUAAUCUAGACGAAACCGAGGUCUUAAUCUGGGAUAUGCCAAAAAUACCAAGGAAACAUGAAUCAUUGUGCACUUGUCACUGUCAGAAAAGGAAGAAUACACAGAAUUUUUGAAAGAGUAUGAGGACAUAUUCCCCUGGUCAUACGAUGAUAUCACCGGUCUCAGCAUGUCCAUUGUGUCUUACAAGUUGCUGACAGAUCAGGCAUGCCCACCGGUGAAGCAGAAGCUCAAAAAAUUUAAGAAACACAUGAGUUUGAAAAUCAAAGAAGAAGUUACAAAUCAAGUCAAAGCCAGGGUUCUCAGAGUGGUAGAGUAUCCAACAUGGUUAGCCAACAUUGAGUCGGUGCCAAAGAAGGAUGGGAAGGUUAGAGUCUGUGUCGACUACCGGGAUCUCAACCGGGCUAGUCUUAUGAAUGACUUUCCAUUGCCAAAUAAACACAUAUUGAUCGACAAAUGCGCCAAACAUGGGCUGCAGUCGUUCGUUGAUUGUUUUGCUGGGUACCAUAAGAUAUGGAUAGAUGAAGAGGAUGCAGAGAAAACAACGUUUAUCACGCCAUGGGGGAUUUAUUGCUAUUGAAUGAUGCCAUUUGAGGUUAAAGAAAGCAGGGGCUACUUACAUGAGGGCCAUAACUACCCUCUUUCAUGACAUGAUACAUAAGCAUAUCGAGGUAUAUGUGGACGACGUCAUCAUUAAAUCCAGAAAAGUUGCAGAUCACAUGGAAGAUUUGAGAAAAUUCUUCAACAGACUGAGGAUAUACAACUUGAAACUAAAACCCUCCAAAUGUGCACUCUGGGUCCCGGUCAGAAAAUUAUUGGGUAUCGUUGUGAGUCGCCGAGGAAUAGAACAUGAUCCCUCGAAGGUCAAAUCUAUUCAGAAGUUUCCACCACCGAGGAACAAGAAUGAUGUGAUAAGUUUCCUAAGAAGACUCAAUUAUAUCAGCCGUUUCAUAGCUCAGUCCACCGUCAUCUGCGAACCAAUCUUCAAGAUGCUGAAGACGGAUGUUGCCGCUGAAUGGACCGAUGAAUGCCAAAAGGCUUUUGAUAGGAACAAGGAAUAUUUGUCUACACCUCCAUUCCUAGUUCCACCUGAGCCCGGUAGACCUUUAUUGAUUUAUCUCGUAUUUUUGGAUGGGUCAUACGGUUGCAUUUUAGGACAACAUGAUGAAACAAGGAGAAAGGAGCUAGCCAACUACUACCUCAGCAAGAAAUUUACCCCGUACGGGGCUCGGUAUUCCUUACUAGAGCGCAACUGUUGUGCUUUGACCUGGGUAGCGCAGAAAUUGAGGCAUUAUUUCUGUCCUUAAUCUACUUACCUUAUAUCAAGGAUGGAUCCGAUGAAGUAUAAUUUCCAAAAGCCCAUGCCCACUGGCAAGCUCGCCAAGUGGCAAAUUUUAUUAAGUGAGUUCGACAUUGUCUAUGUCAGGCAGAAGGCAGUUAAAGGACAGGCUUUGCCAGAUCAUCUCGCCAAGAAUCCUGUAGGAGGAGAAUAUGAACCCCUAAUAACGUAUUUUCCCGGCGAGGAGGUAGCUUUCAUUGGAGAAGAUAUUGCAGAAUCCUAUGAAGGUUGGAGAAUGUUUUUUGACGGAGCCGUAAACUUCAAAGUAGUGGGUAUAAGAGCGGUUCUGGUAUCGGAAACUGGUUAGCAGUAUCCAGUGUCCGCCAAGCUCAGAUUCCAAUGUACCAACAAUAUGGCCGAGUACAAAGCCUGCAUCUUAGGGCUCAAACUGGCCAUUGGCACGAAUGUUCAGGAACUACUAGUAAUCGGAGAUUCGGACUUACUCAUACAUCAGGUCCGAGAAGAAUGGGCAACCAAAAAUUCCAAGAUAGUCCCCUAUCUAUACCCUGUGCAAGAGUUGAGGAAAUGAUUCAGAAAGACGGAGUUCCAGCAUGUUCCCAGAACAAAGAACGAGUUCGCCGAUUCUUUAGCCACUUUAUCAUCCAUGAUCCAGCAUCCGGAUACAAAUUUUAUUAAUCCUAUUCCGGUCAAGAUUCAUGACCAGCCAGCUUAUUGUGCUCAUGUCGAGGAGGAAGCCGACGGUAAACCUUGGUUCCAAGAUAUCAGGGAAUACUUAACAGCAUGAGGGUACCCAGAGCUUGCCAAAGCUACUCAAAAACGAACACUUCGGAGGUUGUCCAAUAAUUUCUUUCACAACAGAGGAGUUCUGUAUAGGAGGACUCCUGAUUUGGACUAUUAAUGUGUGUCGAGGCAAAAGAAGCAACUAGAGUAUUGGAGGAAGUGCACGCGGGAACUUGUGGGCCACAUAUGAAUGGUUUCGUUUUGGCAAAGAAGACACUUCGAGCGGGCUAUUUUUGGAUAACUAUGGAGACAGACUGCAUCCAGUAUGUCCGGAAGUGUCAUCCUUGUCAUAUACAUGCAGAUAUGAUAAAGUUACCUCCAAACGAGCUCACUACAACGAGCUCACCAUGGCCAUUCGUUGCCUGGGAAAUGGAUGUUAUUGGACCAAUCGAGCCUGCCGCAUCAAUCGGACAUAGGUUCAUCUUAGUGGCAAUGGAUUACUUCAUUAAAUGGGUUGAAGCAGUAACCUAGAAAGUCAUGCCAGACUUUGUCCGCAAGAGUAUUUUCUAUCGGUUCAGGAUCCAAGAAUCAAUCAUCACCGAUAAUAGUUCCAAUCUCAACAAUGACCUGAUGAAAGUAAUGUGUGAAACAUUCAAAAUCAGACAUAAGAACUCUACAACUUACAGACCUCAGAUGAACGAAGCUGUAGAAGCAUCCAACAAGAACAUCAAGAAGAUACUAAGAAAAUUGAUCGAAAGCACAAGAAAUGGCAUGAGAAGUUAUCAGUUGCCUUAUUGGGUUACCGUGCUAAAGUUCGCACAUCAACCGGGGCAACCCCUUACAUGCUGGUUUCUGGAAUGGAGGCGGUCAUUCCCGCUGAGGUAUAGAUCCUAUCCUUAAGGGUCAUACAAGAGGUUGAAUUGGAUGAUGCAGAAUGGAUCAAAAGUCUCUACGAGCAAUUAGCCGUCAUCGACGGAAAGAGGAUGAACGUUGUCUGUCACGGUCAGUUAUACCACCACAGGAUGUCCAGAGCCUUCAACAAGAGAGUUUGACCAAGGAAGUUUACACCAGGGCAACUGGUUUUGAAGAAGAUAUUCCCACAUCAAGAUGAAGCCAAAGGGAAAUUCUCUCCCAACUGGCAGGGUAUGUACAUGGUUCACCUGGUUAUGACUUGAGGAGCCCUCAUCCUUGCUGAAAUGGACGGAGAAGUUUGGCCCAAACCAAUCAACUCAAACACCGUGAAAAGAUACUACAUUUAAUCAUCACAUUUUUCCUUGAUGUAAAUUGAACUACGCUUGUCCUGAUUCCCCAUUAAGAUGGAAUACGUAGGCAGCCCUAUGGGUUCGGUCACAUUAUUAGCAAAAUUCCAUUUUUCCCGAGAAAAUCUACCCAAUAAACUGGGGUAGAGUUUUGAAGAAAGACCUUCAAAAUUCUAAGGAUUCAAUUUUCAGUCAUUCAGCACUGCCGUCAAACAUCGCAGCCUAGUAAACUGGGGCAGAAUUUUUGAGGAGGACCCUCAAAAUUCUAGAGCAAGCAAGGUUGUCGUGUCUUGAACCACAUUGCGGUUGUUGGUUCAUCAUAAAACAAAAAAAAUUAUUAUUAUUUUUUUUAUUUAUAUAUAUAUUUCCAUCAUGUUUGCUAAAUCUUUUGCAUUAAACCAUUCGGAUCAAUAACGUUCAGCAACGCUACCCCAAAUGGAAUAGGGCGCCACCAGCCGAGAGAUACGAACUAACCACCCCCUUUACAGAACUCAUGAUUUUUCUUUAGAUGCAGGAAUUCAGGAUACAAAUCGGCAAUGCAUGCGCAUUACAUAGCCGAAACUCUCCAAACAACUACUUACUUCGCAAAAGGUCUACUACCUACAUCCAACAUCUCCCCAGCAUUCAUGAUAUCGCAAUCAUCUACCAGCUAAUAAAACCAUUACUAUCUCCUCAUUUACGUUUCCGCAUUGCAUAAGGCUAUUCUCUGCCUUCCAAGGUUAAGCUAUACCUCAAUCCUGCAUAAGGCUACUCGUUGCUUUUCGAGACAAAGCUCUGUCUCCAUCUUGCAUUUUUGCAUAUGGCUACUCUCUACCUUCCGAGAUUAUGCUCUACCUCCAUCUGCAUAAGGCUAUUCUCUGCCUUCUGAGGUUAAGCUCUAUCUCCAUCCUACAUAAGGCUAAUCUCUGCCUUUUGAUACUAAGCUUUGUCUCCAUCCUGCAUUGCAUAAGGCUUUUCUCUGCCUUGCGAGGUUAAGCUCUUCCUCCAUCCUGCAUAAGGCUAUUUUCUGCCUUGCGAUACUAAGCUCUGUCUCCAUCCUGCAUUGCAUGAGGCAAUUCUCUGCCUUACGUGGUUACGUUCUACCUUCGUCCUGCAUAAGGCUACUCGCUGCCUUUCGAGACUAAGCCCUGUCUCCAUCUUACGUUUUUGCAUAAGUUUAUUCACUGCCUUCCGAGGUUAAGCUUUACCUCCAUCCUACAUAAGGUUAUUCACUACCUAUCAAGACUAAGCCAUGUCUCCAUCCCGCAUUUCAUAAGGCUAUUCUCUGCCUUCCGAGGUUAAGCUCUACCUCCAUCCUUUAUAAGGCUAUUCACUGCCAUUUGAGACUAAGCCGUGUCUCCAUCCCGCAUUGCAUAAGGCUAUUCUCUGCCUUCCGAGGUUAGGCUCUACCUCCAUCCUGCAUAAGGCUAUUCGCUGCCUUUCGAGACUAAGCGCUGUCUCCUUCUGAGGUUAAGCUCUACCUCCCUUAUUUGGUUGAAAAAUUGCCACCCUGUUUCAUUUGGCUGAAAUAUCGCCACCCUGCAUUUUAAGAUCUUGCUCGGCUGACACAUCGCCACCCUUGCAUUCAUUCAGCUAAAAUAUUGCCACCUUUUGAUGGGUUGUAAUAUCGCCAACUUAUUCAAAGGCGUCAUAGUUCGGAGGAACCAUCUGCAUAGCCCGAUAACACCAUUUCAUGGCCUACGAAUCUUUAUUUUUAUGCUCUUAAUAGCCCAGGACGUCAUAGUUUGAGGACGCCAUCCUAAUCGUCCGAAUACAGCAUUCAUGGUCCAAUGGGAACUUGCAUCAUAUAUAAAUUAUGCAAUAUAUACGCACAUCGACUCGUUGCAGGUACAUCGUCUGGCUCACAGCUGUCUUAGCAGGAGCGAUCCCGCUCCAGUCCUCCGCAGCCUGUCCAAUCUCCAAACCCCUGUCGCAUCUCAAACCAUGUUGCGUCCGUCUUUUCUGAACCUCCAUCGGCAUAUUCCGCCAAAGGUUCCUGAACUACAAAUGGCCAGAUUCCUGUAAAACCAGGGAUAUGUAGGCAGCUCAGAAACUAGAGCGCGUUCAAAACUCUCUUACAAUCGCCAAUUCCGGUCAAAAUUGGCCUUCUUAUCUUUACCCGACAACUCAAUCAUCCUCCUCGGGUAAAGAGGAGCAGCUGUUGAUACCUAAUUUUUUCCUAUUUAUUUCUUGCACCCAAAAUGCUUUCAAAAUAGUAGAUAUAUACAUAUAUAAGCAUGCCUAGGAAUUUUGGUAUUUUUCCUUAAUUGUUAAAAAAAUUUAAAAUCAAUUUAAUGACAACUUUUGACAAUAUAAAGGCUAAAUAUAUUUCCAGAUUAUUAUUUUUAGCGCACAAUAUGUUUUAUUCUCAUAUUUAUAACAAAACAAAAUUUAUGUAAUUUUUUGCACAUUGUUUUACAAAUUUAUUUGUAUUUUUAAAAGCUAAUUGCACAAAAUUGCAAUUGUAGCGUAUUUUGCAAUUUGCUAUGUUUUAUAGAAAAUAAUUUUUAAUAUUUUUAGAUUAAUCUUUAUAUGUUAUUAAGUAGCUUUAUGCUUUCAGUUUUGCUUUUUAAACUAUUUUAGCUAUUUUAUAAAAUUAAUUGGAAAAAAGGCUAUUUAAAUUAUAGCCAUAUUUUAUUCAAAACAUGGCCCAAAUUUAACCACCCCCCCAGGUCAGGCGAAUUAAACGACCCAAAUUUCCAAAUAAUUCAACCCAGACCCAUUGAAACUUACCCGCCCGGAUCCCUCUUUAAAUCGCGGCCGUUGAUCAUUAAAAUCAAUGUCCCACAACAGCCCUUUCCUUUUUAACCCAAGAUCACCCUAACCCUACUCCCAUUCUCUCAUUCCUGCCGCCCUUGUAUCCACCUCAUCCCAAAAAUGCUCUCAAUCCCUCUCCAAACCCUAGCCCUUUCCGGCCAUUUGCCGGCUUAUCUUACCGGAAAAUAUGGCUUCCCAAACCUUGUACAACCUAUGCUCACUCCCACUCCCUUCUAUGGCUCCUUUUUUCAAGGAUCAAAACCAGACCUUGAAAGUCUCCGGUUCAUAAGACCUCUGAUUCGAGUUUUAUGGCUAUUUUCGGCCUCUCUCCGGCGAUCUCUAGCUUUGUCAGUCUGUUUCCAACUCAAAGCUCGUCUGUUCCAGGCCUGUCUCAUUUUCCUGGAAACCCUAAUCUUCGAGGUUUCUCCUCUUAUUUUCUUUAAGAUCUUCUUAGGAUCUGUGAAUGCUAAGUGUUAUUUUAUGUUUGUCGAUUUUACCUUUCAAAAUUGUUUGUAUUCCUAAAACUAGGUUUUCUCGGAUUUUUCUUUUCUUAUCUACUCUACUGUGAUUUAUUUUCUUUGCUAUGACUUUUGGAUGUUUUACCUGUGAUUCCAUGUAAUGUUUUGCCUAGGUUUUAUCCGAUUCAUUUUUUUAACUUCUCUACUGGGAUUUCUUUAGUUCUUACUAUGACUCUCGAAUGUUUUCCUCUACCUAGGGUUUCUGGUAACUCUCUAUUGUAUUUUGCUUUCUGCUAGUUUUUGUGUCCUCUCUAAGUUGGUUUACCUGAGUGUUCUUUCACUUUCUUCUUUACACUGUGAAAUGUUAGGAAACCCUAGACUUUGGGGUUUUCGACUUUGUGCGUGCUGCUUAUCUGAUUCUAAGACCCUAAUGUGUUUGAGUUUCUUUCACGCUUCUGAGUUCUUGCUAAGAUUUGCAUUAACUCUAAUCCAUUUCGUGCCAUGCUUUUCUGCUUUCUGAUUAUGUGACUACUCUGCCAGUUCUAGCCUCGCCUGCUUAAAUUUGUGCAUCUCUUUAUAGUCAUAUUUUCCUUUCAAAUAACCCUAACUUUUGGGGUUUUGAUUUUUUUUUACAAACUUAUUCGAUUCUCUGACCUACACUUGUUUUCGGACUGUAUUCGAAUACAUGUUCCCUUGAUUCCCUAUGUAAUUGAUGAUUUAGUUUUCCUUAUUUGUUAAACCACGCAUAUUAAAAACCCUAUACGUGUUUACCCUCUGUUUUUCAACCCAUUGUUGAUUUUCUUUCAAAAUUUGGAACUCUAUUUAUUUACCCUAAGUCUGAAUCCCUUAAUUAAAAGGAAACCUUUCCCUAAUCGAUUUUGAUUGAUACUAAUUUAUUUUCCUGCCUUCUUUACUACUUAAUUUCAAGCUGUAAAACUCCCCCACCUCUCUUCAAUACAGACACAUAAAAAAGAACAUUUUUUUCUUACGUUCAGCAUCUAAAAAACUCUCUUUUCUUCCCUUCUCUUCUUUGUUAGUAAGUGUGUUGCUUGUGUUAAGAAAAGGUUAACUAUAAGAUCCUAUUUGUUCUAUUUGUAUUGUUGUUUGAAACUUGCAACUGGUAGGUUCCAUGAUUUAAAUACCUCCUCCAAACUAUGUGUUUACUUAUGCUUUUCAUAUGUCUAUUUGUGCUCUAUUUUUGUACAUCAUGCAAUUGAACUUCAGCAUCUUACACCUAUUCCCCACAUUCUACUAUCUUUAAUUUUGUUAUUUUCCUGCACAUCCUUACCCCAUAGUCCCAUGUGUUUAAUUCUGUUAUGUUUGGUAUUUGUUACCUUCCUACACAUCCCUUUCCCCAAACCCCUUUCUGAUUAACUAUGUUCUGUUUUAUGCAAAUUCUUUCAUACUUGAUCACUUUCACGACCCUUUGUUGUAUGUGAGUGUUGUUUUGGACUAGAGUGGUACCCUAUUGCCACCUCUUGUUUAGAACCAGAUUGUUCUCAACUUAUACUCAAAGUAAUCUCACUCCCUAAACCCCCCAUUAUGUGUUGAGCUUUGACUCAGGUCUGUUGGUGCCCUAAUCACCACACAUGCCUAAGUCUGACUUCUUUCAAGUCUCCUCUUACUUGUUAAACCAUUUAAAGGGCCAGGGGUGUGCCACUCCUCUUCAUGGCUAGGUAUGACCACAUUUGCAAUUGUUAUCCUCUAAUCCUUCACAUUUACACUCAUUCUUAGUCUCUUAAGCGCUGCCCCCCUUUGGUCAUCCAUGCCUUGGGACCGUUGAGCUCCAUCUGAUCUCGGCUGCCUUAGGGCUGGUACUUCUACACUGCACUAUUCUGUUACUCUAAGUUAUUCACGGUGUUAAGCACUGCCGGGAAUCCCUGGAAAUCUUUGGAACUCUGAAAACACCUUGAGUAUGAGAAGGCCUUGGAAUCUGGAAUCGGGAUUUGGUAAAAUGCAUGGGUUUGGACAUUAAAGUUUCUUUGAGUUUCUUCGGGCAUGUUGUAGUUCUGAUGUAUUUAUUUUAUUCUCUUUUUGUCCUUUCUUUUAAGUUUUGUAAUAAUUGGUAAAACGAUUUGGGGAUAUUCGUUAAAGGGUGUGGGAAGUGCUUUACUAUUUCUACAUAUGUCAAAUGGUAGAAAUCAUGUUCAUAGGGUUCUAUGCUUAAAUCAUUUAUAAAGCAUGCAUAUAGGACUUGCAUAUUUUCAUAAUCAAACGAUUAUAGAAAUCCUAACUAUAGGACUUACAUACUUUCAUAAUCAAAUUCAUAUUGAAAUCCUGCCUAUAGCAUUUGCAUACGCGAUUGGCGAGCUGUAGGGUUAAACGUUCAAUUAUUUCAUUAACCAAUUUUAAAAUCAGUAGCAUAGACAUCAUCAUGCCUAUAGGAUUGACUGUCAAACUCGCCUUAUUCUCAAACUGUUAGUAAUGCAUGCGUGUCUCAAGUCUGUGUUUUAAAAACAAAUUCUGAUUUCCAACGGUCUUUGAAAUAAAGUUCUGCCCAAAGUAUUUUCUAUGAAACAGUCUUCUAGAAUAAUCUACCUGCUCAAAAGCUUCUGCAUAAAACUACUCUGCCCCAACGUUUUUGAAACAUAUGUGCAACUCGUUUUCUCCUCAAAUAUGUUUGUUUAUUUUAAACCUUUUCUGCAUAUUUUAUUUAUAUUGUCCGCUAUUUUUUUUUCAAGUCUUUUAUUUCUCCUACUAAAACUCCCCUGUUUUCUCAAAUAAAACAAUUCCUGAUAACAUGCCCGGGGAGCUCGACACAGAUUUUCUAUCCAGCUUUAUGUGUUUAACUAACACCAUUCGCGAUCAGCUUUAAUCUUAAGACCGAACCUGUAUUUGUAAGCAUGCUAUACUAAUUGCUGCUAUGGUUUACGGGGUUUAUAUGAGCCUUUGAAUUUCUGAUUUGCAUACCCUUAUAUGUUAUUUGUUUUGAUUGACGCUUAGUAUUUUUGCCUUUGAAAAUUCCAUAUAUGCCCUAUCUUUCUCUCCCUCUCUUAAGUUUUGAAUUCCUAAUACCCCGGAACUAAUAGGUUUGGACGGGUAUUAGCAUGCAAUAAGCAAACGAGACCAAACGAUACCUUAACGGGGUGGGAAGGGUAGAAUAUGGAGAUGAUGACGAUGCGAUAAUACCAUAAAGAGACCCCUCUUUGGGAAUAUGUGCGGGAUAUUGUAUCAAAUGAUUCAUAUAUAGUCAAGCCUAGGACCUCUUUCUCUUUACUUGCUUUAGUUAAACAGUUUUCCUAAUGUAAUGCUUUUCAAAUAAGUUCUCUCUUCUACUUUUAUCUAAACUAUGCCUUUCCCCUUUUCAAUUCCUAAGUUGCUUGAAUAUUUAUAUGCAAAACUUACUUAUUUACUUGCCUUGUCUCUCAUUAAGUCACAAUUAGCACGGCCGGGAACCACACUAGUGGAUCUUGAGGGGUGCCUAACACCUUUCCCUCGAGAUAAUCUCAAGCCCUUACCCGAACUCUGAUUUUCUUUUCACAAAUACUCUCUUCUUCUUAAAAGUGUUCUAUUGCACUAUAAUCAUUAGGUGGUGACUCUUCAACUUCCAAUACCCAAAUCCCAAACAUGAAUAAGAGUUCUUUUGUCCAUAAUGCCGUAUAACCGAUUUCGCUUCUUUUUAGUAUUCGAAAAAGGGGGUGUUGACAGUCCUCAUCACCUGUGAUAGAAUAGAAUAACAGAAGUUUAGUACUCGAAUCCACAAGUUCGCACGAUAAGAAUUUCAAGAAUAAGAAGUUUUCCUAAAGCUUCUGCAACCUCUCGAGGAUAAAUACAGACAUCUCCAUACCGAUACGCGAGACUCUACUAAACCGGCUCAUGACUUGCGAGACCUAUAUAACCUAGGCUCUGAUACCAACUUGGCACAACCCCAAACCCCCGUCAUAAUGGCAUCCAACACAUUUCAAGGCAGGCCGGACCAACUAUCAACCACAACCCAUUUCCUUACAAGAUUCAUCAUCACCUAACACAGUUAAUUACCAACUAAGCAAAAUAAAUGUCUAAAUAGCGAGUUAGAUAUGCGGAAGUCAAGAGAUAAUACUACCACAUAGCACACACUGAUCUGGUAUCACAAGUCUCGAGCCUCUAAUACCAGUUCAACAACCUACUACAUAGACAGUCUAGGAAAUACGGAAAAUAAAAGGAUAGAAGGGAGAAACCACGGCUGCGGAUACUAUGCAGCUAUCUCGAUAUCCCCGACAAUGCAAAUCCGCUGGAAAGCCCUCACUCAGCCGUUGAAAGCUUCAAUAGCUUUCCUCUUCGUUUCAGUAGAGGAAUCAAUUCUAAAAAUAUGUUAAAUAAAGAUGGAUUUUAUUUUAUCUUAGAGAGUAAAACUUCAGAAGCAAACAUGUUGAUGCAACAGUAUACAUGUAUAUGAGCAUGAAGUCUAGAUUGAAUUAAAAUAUGGAUAUCCUUGUCGUUUGGCCCAUAUUUCAUUUGAUUUAGUUUAGCAGUAAAUUCCUUGAAGUAAAACCAAGUCUCUGAUGUCAUGCUCUCUAUGUUAGUAUUCCCCCCUGGACUGCCCGGGUUUAUAACCACUGGGCCUAAUAGUGGCCCAUCUGCAUAAUACUAGACCAAAUACUUUUGGCCUUGUAAUUAAUCUUACCCAAUUAAGUCCAUGGGACUCCAUCUUGAGCCUCAGGUCCUGCUGGAUAUCUAUUUAGGCAUGUCCCAAGGCGCAGGCUUGAGACCAUUUUACAGACAGCAAUGACAAUAACAACAAUCAAGUAUAGUCCCAAAAAGUGGGGUCUGGGGAGGGUAAUAUGUAUACGAGCCUUAUCCCUACCCGAAAGGGCAGAGAGGCUGUUUCCAAUCGACCCCCGGCUCAGUGAUGGAAAGGAAAAACAAAAACAAAAACAAAAGAGCAUUAGUAACUCCAGCAGAAAUAGCGUAAAUNNNNNNNNNNNNNNNNNNNNNNNNNNNNNNNNNNNNNNNNNNNNNNNNNNNNNNNNNNNNNNNNNNNNNNNNNNNNNNNNNNNNNNNNNNNNNNNNNNNNNNNNNNNNNNNNNNNNNNNNNNNNNNNNNNNNNNNNNNNNNNNNNNNNNNCAUAAAUAAAAUAGCAUGCAAUAAUAUCAGACAAUAACUACCAUAAAUAACUACCAUAAGGGAGACACAAUCCAAUGCACAAAUCAUCUAUGGAUAGACCUGCCAAGCCUCGCCCAACCCCGGGUAAGGAGUAAGAAAAACUCUAGGAGCCCCUAUCCUACAACCCUGAUAGUAGACCUCCAGACGUUGCUAUCAAGGGCCAUGUCCUCGGAAACCCGCAUUCUAGCCAUGUCAUGCCUAAUCACCUCUCCCNNNNNNNNNNNNNNNNNNNNNNNNNNNNNNNNNNNNNNNNNNNNNNNNNNNNNNNNNNCCGUACAUGCCCGAACCACCUCAGCCUCGCUUCUCGCAUCUUCUCAUCCACCGGGGCCACUCCCACCUUCUCUCGAAUAACUUCAUUCUUAACCUUAUCUAACCUGGUGAGCCCGAACAUCCACCUGAUCAUGCUCAUCUCCUCAACCUUCAUUUUCUGAACGUGAGAGUUCUUCACUGGCCAGCACUCCGCCGCAUACAACAUGGCAGGUCUAACCACAGCUCUAUAAAAUUUCCCCUUGAGUUUCUGUGGAACUUUCUUGUCACACAUAACUCCUGAUGCAAGCCUCCACUUUGACCACCCCGCUCAUAUACUAUGAUAUGAGUAAGGUUAAUCGAAGGCCGGGGACGUCCCCGUCAAUCUCUCUGUCCCCCUGAAUCACCGACCCAAGAUUUGAUGAGUGACGUCCCCGUAAAUCUCUUCGUCCCCUUGAAUUACCGACUCAAGAUAUCUGACACUGUUUUAAAAAAUAAAAUCGGAUAGCCUCCGUUCUUCUUGGGCUGGCUUCGAGGCCCAACAUGCUAAAAGUCUCAUCGCGUUAUUAGAAUUGUGGGUGGAAUUUAGAUGUAGGUUUGGGCAUUCCAAUCUAAGUAACGAACUUGAAUAAAGCGGUCUUCAAUAACAGAGAUCCCUUUGUAUAAGCUCCCACUUGAAUUUGUGGGCAGAAUUUUUGAAUAGUACUUAAUAAAUAAUGUUAAUCAAUUAGGCCCUUUAGAGACAAUACUUAAUAGAAAAUUAUAGUUCUUUUAGAUUGACCUUUAAAAUAAAAUGAGGUGUGCCACGCCAAACAAAAUUCAUAUACUGCGUAGCCCUCUUUAAAUACUCACAUUAAAAUACUUAGGAAUCGGGACGUGCCAUUUAGCGAAUUUUCAUGGCCUCCCGCAAUGUUAAUAAAACGUUAGUCACUUUAGGCGCGUUCUUUAAUAAUUUUUCCUUCCUAAAUUUGGGUGUGUAUUCUAUGUGACCCAAAUCCAAAUCUCAAAAUGUUAAAUAAAAUAUGUUAAGGAUUCUGGUGCAUUUCAUGUGACGUGAUCCAAAAACAUAUUUUAAACGACGUUCAAUUUCCUUAAAAUUAAUUAAAAUUGAUUAUUGCAUGAUGCUACUGACUCCUUCUUAUUUUGCUUCAAUUCCAUAUAAUAUUUCAGCCUCACAUGACAUGUAGAAAAUGAGUCAAAGUUGAUCAAUAUUGGAAGAGAUGAUGAAACACAAUAUGAUCUCAUGAAUACCAGUACUCUAGUUUAGUUUAAACUCAUAUUAUAACUGUAUUAUGUGAACGUUAUAUGAUUUGUACUAAUUGGACUGUAUAAACUAUUUUCAGACGUGUAUGAGUGUUAGGAGUAUGGUACUAGCUGUAAAUGUCUAGUUUUAGAUUAUCAUAUGAUUUUAAUCACUGAACAUUACAUAUUAUCUUAGUAACUUCACAAAAUUAUUUUUUGCCUCAUUUUAGUACAUGAACCAAGUGUUAAUUACCGAAAAUUUCCGACGUCAUAAAAUGACACGUCAAUACAUUUUUAGUUUCUAUUUAUCUCGAAAAUACGAGUAACAAUUAAAUUUAAUUUGUGGUUUUAAAGAUAUGAGAUUUAGUUCAAUACUAAUUAAUAAUCAAGAAAUAUAAAGUAAAAAUGAAAAGAAUAAGUGAAUCAAACCAGUAUUACUUUGCAAUAUUGACCUCGAGCUCAAUGACCUUGAGAUGAACCAAAAACAAUAAAGUAAGAACAAUAAAGAUAAAGGACAAUUCUGAUGAACAAUGAGCGAAAAAAUAAGAUAGUAUAUUUUUUGCCAAUGAUUAGAUGAUGUUUACAAAUGAUUGGGGUCCCCUUUAUAUAGGAUGUGAACCCUAAAAAUGGUACAUUUCUAGUUACAAUAGAGAAUCUUAUUGGAACAGCGGUAUAACCGCCUAGUAUGAAUUUGUACUAAUACGUACAAAUAAACUCCGAAAUUUACGACAUGAUCUUGGGGACACGGCGAGAAUCUUAUCCUUCUGUAACAAACUUAUAACGGCAUUGUCUCAGAGCCGGUCGUGCUUGGCUCCGACGUUCCUCGUGCACUUCGAAUCUCGGGCACUGCAUUCUGUCUUCAAGCUCAGGUCUAGUCCAUCGAAUUCGGACUCGACCUUACCUAAACCCGGGCUUGAAUCGGCUACUCGAACCCGGAAGAUCGAGCAUACCAGAUUUUGACCAUAUACAGUUUCUUUUAUGAAUCCAGCUUGUAUGUAAAAAUGCAUUCCUUGAGUAUCCUUGAAGGACUAUUAUUCCAUCAAAAACGUUGAGUUACUGCUAAAUGCUAUGGCAGAUUUUUCAAUAGAACGACCACAAAAAUCAUAGUUCUACAGAAAUUUUCAUGCACAAAAUUGUUGAAAUCUCUAUAGUUCCUUUACUUUUCAUAGUAUAAAUUAUGCAAACUCUAUAGUUGAAAUCAUAGUAUUAUGCAAACUCCUCAAAUCAUCAUUGAAAUCUCUAUAGGUCCUUCAACUUCUUUGAGUUCACCUUCCUUCCAAUUAGCUAUCACCAUAUCAUCAUUUUCCCUUCUCAUGAAUUUCUAAACCAUAAUAGCUAAGACAUUUAAAUUUGUUGCCCAAAAAGAAAGAGAAUAUUCAUCAUCGCGGCCGGCCAGAAGUUAAACGGUGGUGCAAUCUCGUAUCGAGGAGUGUAUUCUCCCGCUGUGUGAAACAAUAUUCAAUUUCAAAAUCAAACAACCGGCAUCGAUAACAUGCCGAUAUGAGCCCAUGUCUCGAUAUAUAUGUUUGAUAAUCAAAGAUAAACUCGAGUAGGUAAAAAAGGACUGCAGCUGGGAGAAAGAAAACAUAGUGAACCCUUCCCAUAAAGAGAACAUAACUACUCAUAAAGAAGAGUAUCUAUCACGAUCCAAAGCCCGGUCAUGAUGGCGCCCAACAAUAAUUGCUAGGCUAGCCCGACCAUUAAACACUCUCAACCCAAGUACGAAAAUCCAUUACUAAUUAAUAGAGUUAAAUUUUCAGAUAAUAUAGUUCAAACCAGAGAUAAUAGAUAGAAAUAAUACGAAAAAUCAUAAGCAAUAUCAAUACAACUCCCAACAGAUCUAGGGUCAUGAGUCUAGAGCCUCUAAAUACAACUGAGUAGACAAUAAAAACAAAUGAGGGUCUAAGAUGCGGGAAGAAAUGACAGGGGAGGAGUCGGGUCAUACGGACGACUGGCAGCUACCUCGACAACUUCGGGAUAAAUCUGAAAACAACAACAGUACGACUAAGCUCCCGAUGCUCCUGAAUCUGCACACAUGGUGCUUGGAGUAAAGUGAGUACUUCCAACUUAGUGGUAGUAGACAUAUAUAAUGACUAAAAGUAAGAAAUCUCGAAAAUACCACAAUGUAAAGCUGAGACUUAAAACUUAGCACAUUUAGCGGUGAAACAACAACAAAUCAAAAACCGAUAGACAAAUAGAUAUCAAUGCAUGAAUGCAUUGCAAUGCACAUGACCGCUGCGGCGGACAACCCGAUCCAUUUGGGUACCUGUGCUCACUGUGGGGUUUCAGACUCCGGAGGAGCUCCUUCAACCCAAGAGCAAUAUAAUCAUAGUAUUCGCUGCGGCGUGCACCCCGAUCCACAAUCAGACCAGUUUUAUGCAUGCAAGCCACACGAGCACAGUCAAAUCAAUCAUUUUUCAGUUCCAACUAUCAGGAAUAUAGCUUAAGUGAUUAAAACCUUAGAAAUUUACUAAUCAUUUCUAGACAGUGUUUAACUCAGGACUGAUAUCAUGAAAACACCCUCAACAUCAUGGAAACAGUGGCAAUAAACCCAAAGGAAUCCAAAUAAUCAGCAUGCAGCCCAAAUAUGCUCAUAACAAUCCAAGUAGGAUGUUUACAAUUCAAUUUCUAGUCAAUAACACAUUAUGAACAUCACUCGGACGGACUAAUCCAUAGUCCCCGUCCACAAGCGUCCCCGCACUCAUCGUAGAGUACGUGUCUCCCCUCAAUACAGCGUCACGGUGUGAUAUACCGGGGUUUCAAACCCUGAGGUCAUCAUCUACAUCUAUUACUCACCUCAAAACAGCCGAAGACUAGCCCACAAUUCCCUUUCCUCUCAUAUCGACCUCCUCGUGUGUCGAAUCUGGCCAAAACAACAACAAAUACAUUACAAUAGGCUAAUAGAACACAACCCAACUGAAAGACUCGAAAAAUACAAAAAAUUGCGAAGUUGGCAAAACCCGAGCCCCGGGCCCACUUCUCAAAAAAUUACAAAAUUGCCAUCACCGGGCUCCUCGUCUCACCACGAGUCUAUACAUAUCAAAAUUACCAAAGUCGGACUUCAAUUGCUCCCUCAAAUACCAAAUUUUUAUUUCAAAACCCAAGCCAUAAUUCUUCAAUUUUUCACCCAAAUUCUAAGCAUUAAAUGUUGAUUCUUCAAUAAAAUAGGGUUUCUAGGUCAAAAGACUUACCUCCAAUCACUUCCCCUCAAACCCUCUUUAAUUUCUACCAAAAAGCUCUUGAGAUGGCCAACAAUGGAGGAAAAUAAUGAUUGGGUCGCUCAUGAAAUAUUUAAUAAAACCUCAUUCUGCCCAGCUAUGUCCUACUAUACGAAUGCAAGACCCCCUCGCAUUCACAAAGCACAAGAAUUCCUCAGAAAAAAUUAACCCUUUCGCAAACGCGUCACUCCACCCACGAACGCGAUACUUGAACAUCUGAUACUAUGUGAAUACGAUCCUUCAACGCAAAUGCGAGGCUCAACGAUCCCCUCUUACGCAAACGCGACUUCCACGUCACGAAUGCACUGAACAACCUAGGCAGGACCCCCAGGCCCUUCUAUACGAACGCGAAGAGACUACCGCGAACACGAUGACCCAAGACAUCACCACUACGCGAAUGCGAUUACCCCUCCGCGAACGCGGAGCACAAGGGUGGUCUGCAACUGCUAUUGUUAUUCUGUAAUAAAAAAUCCUAAGUCCAAACUUCACGUUUAACCAUCUGAAAUCACCCCGAGGCCUCUGGGACCUCAACCAAAUACACCAACAUUCCCAAAACAUCAUACGAACUUAUUCCAAUCAUCAAAUCACGUCAAUCAACACUAAAAUCAUCAAUUCCCCACUGAUUCAAGCCUAAGUUUCUUCAAAACUUCCAAAACACACCUUAAAUCAAAAACCCAACCAAACAAUCUCCAAUGACCUAAAUAUUUUUGCACACAUAUCCAAAAUCACCUAACGGAGCUACUGCAACUCUUGGAAUUCCAUUCCGACCCUCGGAUCAAAAUUUCACCUAUCAACCGAAAUUCGGCAAAAUUCAAACUUUGCCAAUUCAAGCCUAAUUCUACACCGGACCUCCAAAUUCAAUUCUGAUCACACUCCUAAGUCAUAAAUCAUGCCCCUAAGCUAACCGAUUCAACAAAAUUCACAUCCGAGCCCUCUAAGUAAAUAGUCAACUUCCAGUUGAUCUUUCCAAAACAAGCUUUCCUUUAAGAGACUAAGUGUCUCAUUUCCAUCUAAAACCAAUCCGAUUCUACCCGAUCAACUCAAAUACCGAUAUUGAAACAUAUAGAAGCAUAAUAUGAGGAAAACGGGGCGGUAACUCACAUGACGACGAGCUGGGUCGUUACAUCCUCCCCAACUAAUAGAAAUGCUCGUCCUCGAGCGGAUUAAGAAACAUACCUGAAGUCUCAAAUAAGUGAGGAUAUUUGCUCUGUAUCUCCUGCUCGAUCUCCCAAGUUACCUCCUCCACGAGCCGACCUCUCAACUGCACCUUCACCGAAGCUAUCUUCUUAGAUCUCAACUUUCGAACCUGACGACCCAAAAUAGCCACUAGCCCCACAUCAUAAGUCAAGUCCUCAUCCAGUUGGAUCGUAUUGAAGUCUAACACACAAGACGGGUCCCCAGCAUACUUCCGGAGCAUAGAAACAUGGAACACCCGGUGAACCCCCGACUGGGUGGCAAAGCAAGCAUAUAGGCCACCUCUCUAAUCCUCCUAAGUAUCUCAAAAGGUCCAAUGAACUGUGGACUCAGCUUCCCUUUCUUUCCAAACCUUAUAACACCUUUCAUAGGUAAAACCUUCAACAAGACCUUAUCGCCCACCAUAUAAGAUACAUCUCGGACCUUCCGGCCGCAUAACUUUUCUGACGUGACUGCGCUGUUCGAAGUCUCUCCUGGAUCACUUUCACCUUCUCUAAGGCAUCCUUAACUAACUCUCUCCCCAAUAGUCUAGCCUCGCCGGGCUCAAACCAACUAAUAGGAGAUCUACACCGUCUUCCAUAUAAGGCCUCACACGGCGCCAUCUGAAUACUGGAUUGAUAGUUGUUAUUGUAAGCAAACUCUGCAAGUGGCAAGAACUCAUCCCUAGAAACUCCAAAGUCAAUAACACAGGCACACAACAUGUCCUCCAAUAUCUAAAUAGUACGCUCAGACUGUCCAUCCAUUUGAGGAUGGAACGUUGUGCUCAACUCUACCUAUCUACCCAACUCUUGAUGAAAAGUCCUCCAAAACUAGGAAGUAAACUGAGUACCCCUAUCUAAGAUAUUGGAAACUAGGACCCCAUGCAACCGAACAAUCUUCCGAAUGAAAAUCUCUGCUAACCGCUCCGAAGAAUAGGUAGUACACACUGGAAUGAAGUGCGCGGACUUGGUCAGCCUAUCCACAAUCACCUAGAUCGAAUCAAACUUCUUCGAGGUACGAGGGAGACCACUCACAAAGCCCAUAGUAAUCCUCUCCCAUUUCCACUCUGGAAUAUCCAUCUGUUGAAGUACACCACCGGGUCUCUGAUCUCAAAUCAAACGUCUUCGAGGUACCAGGGAGAACACUCACAAAAUCCAUAGUAAUCCUCUUCCAUUUCCACUCCGAAAUAUCCAUCCGCGGAAGUACAUCAACGGGCAUCUAAUGCUUAUAUUUGACCUGCUGACAGUUCAGACACCAAGCUACAUCACUCACAAAAUCCUUUUUCAUUCUCCUCCACCAAUAAUGUUGUCUCAAAUCCUGAUACAUCUUUGCAACACCCGGAUGAAUGGAAUACCGCGAGCUAUUGGCCUCCUCUAAUAUUGGGCACGCAAAUCCGGCCCUGUAUCUACAUCACACCAUAAUCACAAAUAGCCACAUCUCUGGCAUCAUCAUGCUGGACCAUGUCUUUCAGGACAAGCAAAUGCGGGUAAUCAUACUGGCACUCUCUAAUGCGGUCAUACAAGAAAGAGCGAGAAACCACACAAGCCAACACCCGACUAGGCUCAGAAAUAUCAAAUAUGACCAUCCGAUUGGCCAAAGCCUGGACAUCAACUGCAAAGGGCCUCUCCCCAACUGGAAUGUACGCCAAACUACCCACACUAACCGCCUUCCAGCUAAAAGCAUUGGCCACUACAUUGGCCUUCCCUGAGUGAUACAAAAUGGUUAUAUCAUAGUCCUUAAGAAACUCAAGCCACCUCCGUUGCCUUAAAUUAAGAUCUUUAUGUUUGUGCUGGACCAUGUCUUUCAGGACAAGCAAAUGCGGGUAAUCAUACUGGCACUCUCUAAUGCGGUCAUACAAGAAAGAGCGAGAAACCACACAAGCCAACACCCGACUAGGCUCAGAAAUAUCAAAUAUGACCAUCCGAUUGGCCAAAGCCUGGACAUCAACUGCAAAGGGCCUCUCCCCAACUGGAAUGUACGCCAAACUGCACGUACUAACUAACUUUCAGCUGAAAGCAUCAGCCACUACAUUGGCCUUCCCCAUGUGAUACAGAAUGGUAAUAUCAUAGUCCUUGAGUAACUCAAGCCACCUCCGCUGCCUCAAAUUAAUAUCCUUCUGCUUGAACAAGUGCUGAAGACUGCGAUGUUUCGUGAACACUUCACAAGAUACGCCAUAUAAAUAGUGCCUCCAAAUAUUCAAGGCAUGAACUAUAGCAGGCAACUCCAAAUCAUGAACAUGGUAGUUCUUCUCAUGAGGCUUCAAUUGACGAGGAGCAUAAGCAAUAACUCUACCAUCCUGCAUCAAUACACAACCGAUCCUAACUCUCGAAGCAUCACAAUACACCGUGUAAGAACCUAAAGCUGAUGGCAAUACUAAAAGCGGAGCUGUGGUCAAAGCUGACUUGAGCUUAUGAAAUCUCUCCUCGCACUCAUCCGACAACACAAAUGGAAUAUUCUUCUGUGUCAACUUCAUCAAAGGCGAAACAAUAGAUUAAAAUUCCUGAACGAACCUGCGAUAAUAACCCGCCAAAUCGAGGAAACUCUGACUCAGUGGCUGAGGACGGUAUAUGCCAACUAUGCACUGCCUCAAUCUUCUUUGGAUCAACCUGAAUACCAUCACUGGACAUCACGUGUCCUAGAAAAGCCACAGAACAAAGCCAGAACUCACACUUGGAGAACUUUGCAUAGAGCUUCUCCUCUCUCAGCCUCUGCAAUACCACCCUCAAAUAUUGUGUGUGCUCCUCUUGGCUACGCGAGUACACCAGGAUAUCAUCAAUAAACAGAAUCACAAAUAAAUCCAUAUACGACCGAAAUAUACACUGUUCAUCAAGUGCAUGAAUGCGGCUGGGGAAUUAGUCAAUCCGAAUGACAUCACUAGGAACUCAUAGUGCCUACAUCUCAUCCUGAAAGUCGUGUUCAUAAUGUCUGAAUCCCUAAUCGUAAACUGGUGCUAGCCUGAUGGGGGAUCGAUCUUUGAGAAUGCCUUCGACCCCUGAAGCUGGUCAAAGAAAUCCUCCAUACAGGGUAGUGGAUAAUUAUUCUUCAUUGUCACCUUGUUCAACUGUCUGUAGUCAAUGCACAUUCUCAUUGUGACAUCCUUCUUCUUUACAAAUAAGACCGGUGCACCCCACAGAGACACGCUCGGGCGAAUAAACCCCUUAUCCAUGAGUUCCUGAAGCUGCUCCUUCAACUCUUUUAACUCAAUUGGUGCCAUACGACAGUGAUGAAUAGAGAUGGGCUGAGUGCCUGGCACCAGAUCAAUACCGAAAUAAAUAUCCCUGUCCGGAGGCAUGCCCGGCAGGUCUGCUGGGAACACACUAGGGAAAUCCCUCAAGACGGGAACCAAAUCAAGACUAGGAGUCUCAGCUCCAACAUCCAAGUACGAUAAAAAACCUUUCCUAACCAUCCGCUUGGCCUUUAAGAAAGAAAUCACCAUGUUGCGCACAUAAUCAGUCAUACCUCGCCACUCGAUCCUCGGAACACCCGGAAUAUCCAACAUAACAGUCUUGGCAUGACCGUCCAGAAUAGCAUGGUACGGAGAUAGCCAAUCCAUACCCAGAAUUAAAUAAAAAUAUACCAUGCCCAAUAAUAACAAGUCAACUUGGGUGUCUAGACCCCCAAUAGUCACCAUACACGAUUGAUAUACAUGAUCCACAAUAAUAGUAUCACCCACCGGGGUAGAUACGUGCACAGGCAAGGCAAGACAACCACGGGUCAUACCCAAAUGAUGUGAAAAAUAUGAAGAUACAUAAUAAUAGUUUUAACAUCUCAUCUUACCCCAACGCCCCCGGGACCUCAACCAAAAAGCACAAACAUGUUCUGUUACCUUAUUUAAACUGGCUCGAACCAUCAAAACACUAUUGUUAACACCAAAAUGAGCACAAUAGGAAGAUACAUUGGAAUAGGUAGAUCCGGGAUCAAAAACAAUAGAGGCAUCCAUGUGGCAGACUGAGAUAAUACUUGUGACAACAGCAUCUGAUGCAAUAGCGUACCUCCUAUCUGGAAGAGCAUAGAAUCAAGCCUGACCACCGCCAGUCCGGGGCAACCUUUGGCUACCUGGCCCCCACCCUUAGCUGACUGAGUGUGUGCCGAUAAAAUAGGAGUAGAAAAUGAGGGUUGAUCCCUCCGCUGAGACUAACUACCACGAAGUCAAGGACAUGUCUCCUCAUGUGACCAAACUCACUGCACUUGUAGCAAUGACCGGGAGCUAGAGAUGGGGACUGAAGGGAACCCCUCACAAUAUAUUAACCCUAGGUUGAAGAGACAGGAGUAUUAAUCUGAGAUGGAAGGGUACUAAGUGAAGACUGGCCCUUCUGAUAACCCUGAUGACCACGGCCUGAAGAAGCCCCAUUGGACUUUGUACGACCUGACUGAAGAGGUCUGAAGGAAUGACCUUUGCUACACUAGAACCGGCCCCUAGAUGGAGCACCACUGAAGCUACCUGAACAUCGAGGAAUUUUGGACUCCCUCUCCUCACGCAUCCGACGACAAUCUGUCUCAAUCUGACGAGCCAUAUCAACUACCUCCUCAAUUGAGGCGGCCACAACCCUCUCUCAAGUCAUCAAAAUGCGGAUAGAAUAGUUGAGGCCAUCCACAAACCUCAUAAUCCUCUCCCCAUCUGUCAGGAUCAUCCAAGUAGCUUGUUGAGAUAGCUGCGUAAACCUCAACUCAUACUGGGUCACAGUCACGUCCCCCUGAAUCAACCACUCAAACUGACGACGCAGCUCCUCUCUGUGAGACUACGGUACAUACUUCUCCAGAAAGAGAGUGGAGAACUGCUUCCAAGUAAGGGGCGCUGCUCCAACAAGCCUACGCCUCUCAAACUCCUGCCACCAUGUAAAUGCAGGCCCUGAGAACUGGAAGGUAGUAAAAGCCAAUCUACUCUACUCCAAAAUCCCAGCAGUGCGAAGCGUAUGCUGAUACUUGUCUAGAAAUCCCUGGGCAUCCUCACCCUUAGUACCACUGAACGUCGGAGGCUAGAGCCUACUGAACCUCUCAAGUCAACGCUGCUCAUCGUCUAGCAUAGCUGGGACCAUAAAAUCUGGAGCUGGAGCGACUGGCGCAACUGGGGCAACUGGUGCAACUAGCUGAGCUGGGGCUGCUCCCGGUAUCUACAAUCGCUGAACACCUUGGGUGUGCGAGCAACGGGCUCCUCCCACCAUGUAAAUGCAUGCCCUGAGAAUUGGGAAGUAGUAAAAGCCACUCCACUCGACUCCAAUAUACCUGCAAGCAUACCCUGACACUUGUCUAGAAAUCCCUAAGGAUCCUCGCCCUCAGUAUCAGUGAAUGUCGGAGGCUGGAGCCUACCGAACCUCUCCAGUCGAUGUUGCUUGUCAUCUAGCAUAGCUAGAACCACAAAGUCUGGAGCUGGUGCGACUGGUGCAACUGGUGCAAUUGCGGGAACUGGUGCAACUGGCUGAUCUAGGGCUACUCCGAGUGUCUGCAAUCCCUGAACACCCUGCUCGGGUGUGCGAGAAGCAGGGGUCUGUUGACCACCCCUGGUCUGAGAAGUAGUUGUUGCAGUAGUGGCUGAGACGGUCUGAGCCAUGCCAAUGCAGAUGGAUAAAAUCUGAGCUAAAGCCUCCUGGAGACCAGGAAUCACAUUGGGCACUAAUAGUGCCAGAACAGGUGCUGUUGGAGCAUCUACAGCUGGAGGCUGGUCCUGAACCUAAAUAGUUGGUGGAUCUACAAGUGCUGCCCUCGCUGGUAUGCCUCGACUACGACCACGACCAUGGCCUCUAGCGGGUAGCAAUGGUGAUCGUCCGUCAUGUCCGGUAGUACGGGUUCUCUCCAUCUGCGAGAUAACAUAGUACAAAGUUUAGGUCUUAGAACAACGAAGCUGCACGAUGAGAGUUCGAGAAUAUGAUGUGUUUCCUAAAGGUUAUGUAUCCUAUCGAGGAUAAAUACAUACAUCUCCGUGCCGAUCCGCGAGACUAUAUUAACCGGCUCAUGACGCAUGACGCCUUGUAAUCUAGGCUCUGAUAUCAACUUGUCAAGACCCCAAUCCCGGUCGUGAUGGCGCCCAACAAUAAUUGCUAGGCAAGCCCGACCAUUGAACACUCUCAACCCAACUACGAAAACCCAUUAAUAAUUAAUAUAGUUAAAUUUUCAGAUAAUAUAGUUUAAAGCAGUGAUAAUAGAUAGAAACAGUACCGAAAACCAUAAGCAAUACCAAUACAACUUCCAACAGAUCCGGUGUCAUGAGUCUAGAGCCUCUAAAUGCACUGAGUAGCAAAUCAAAACAAAUGAGAGUCUUAGAUGCGGAAAACAAAAUGAUAGGGGAGGAAUCGGGUCCUGUGGGCGCCUGGCAGCUACCUCGACAACUCCGCGAUAAAUCUGGGAACAACAACAAUACGACUAAGCUCCUGAUGCUCCUGAAUCUGCACACAUGGUGCAGGGAGUAAAGUUAGUACUUCCAACUCAGUGGUAAUAGACAUAUAUAAUGAUUGAAAGUAAAAAAUCUCAAAAAUACCACAAUGUAAAGCUGAGACUAACAACUUUGCACAUUUAACACUGACAUAAUAGCAAAUAAAUACUGAUAGACAAAUAGAUAUCAAUACAUGAAUGCAAUGCAAUGCACAUGACCGCUGCGGCGUACAACUCGAUCCAUUUUGGGUACCCGCGCUCACUAUGGUGGUUCAGACAUCGGAGGGGCUCCUACAGCCUAAGCGCAAUAUCUUUGUAGCAUUCGCUGCGGUGCACAGCCCGAUCCACAAUCGGUCUAGUUAUAUGCAUGCAAGCCACACUGGCACAGUCAAAUAUACCAUUUUCAAUUCCAAUUAUCAAGAAUAUAGCUUACAUGAUUAAAACCUUAGAAAUUUACUAAUCAUUUCGAGACAGUGUUUAACUCAGGACAGAUAUCAUGAAAACAUGCUCAACAUCAUGGAAACAGUGACAAUAAUCCCUAAGGGAUCCAAAUAAUUAGCACGCAGCCAAAAUAUGCUCAUAACAAUCCAAGUAGGAAGUUUACCAAUCAAUUUCUAGUCAAUAACACAGUAGGAACAUCACUCGGACGGACUAAGCCAUAGUCCCCAUCCACAAACGACCCUGCAUUCACCAUGGAGUAUGUGACUCGCCUCAAUACAUCGUCACAGUGUGAUAUACCGGGGUUUCAAACCCUCAGGUCAUCAUCUAUAUUUAUUAGUCACCUCAAAACGGACGAAGACUAUCCCACAAUGCCCUUCCCUCUCGUAUCGACCUCCCCUCGCGUCGAAUCUGGCCAAAACCACAUCUAAUACGUUACAUAGGCUAAUAGAACACACCCAACCGAAAAGACUCGACAAAUACAAAAAAUCACGAAGUUGGCAAAACCCGAGCCUCAGGCCCACUUCUCAAAAAAUUACAAAAUUUACAUCACCAGACUCAUCGUCUCCCCACGAGUCUAUACAUAUCAAAUUUACCAAAAUCAUAGUUCAAUUGCUCCCUCAAAUCCCAAAUUUUUAUUUCAAAACCCAAGCCCUAGUUCUUCAAUUUUGCACCCAAAUUUCUAAGAAUUAAAUGUUGAUUCUUCAAUAAAAUUGUGUUUCUAGGUCACCAGACUUACCUGCAAUCACUUCCCGUCAAAAACCUCUUCGAAUUCUACCAAAAAUCACUUGAGAUGGUCAACAAUGGAGGAAGACAAUGACUGGGUCACAGAUGAAAUGUUUAAUAAAAAACCCUCUCUGCCGAGCUAUUUCCUUCUAUGUGAACGCGAUACCCCCUCGCGUUUGCGAAGCACAAGAAUUCAUCAGACCAAAUUAACCCUUUGCAAAUGCGGCACUCCACCCACAAACGCGAUACCUGAACAGCUGAUACUAUACGAACGCGAUCUUUCAACGCGAACGCGAUCCUUCAACGCGAACGCGAAGCUCAACGAUCCCCUCUUGCGCGAAUGCGACUUCCACGUCGCGAACGCACUGAACAACCUAGGUAAUGACCUCAAUCCCUUCUACGUGAAUUCGAAGAGACUAACGCAAAUGCGAUGACCCAAGACAUCACCACUACGCAAACGCGAUUACCCCUCUGCGAACGCGAAGCACAAGGGUGGUCUGCAACUGCUACUGCUAUUCUACAAUAAAUUCUAUGUCAAAACUUCUCGUUUAUCCAACCGAAACCACCUCGAGGCCCUCGAGACCUCAACCAAGUACCCCAACAUAUCCCAAAAUAUCAUACAAACUUAUUCCAGUCAUCAAAACACGUCAAACAACACUAAAAUCAUCAAUUCCCCACGGAUUCAAGCCUAAGUUUCAUCACAACUUCUGAAACACACCUUUGAUCAAAAACCUAACCAAACGACGUCCAAAUGACAUAACCGUUUGCGCAUAUAUCCAAAAUCACCUAAUAGAGCUACUGUCACUCUCCAAAUUCCAUUCUCACCCUAGAAUCAAAAUCUCACCAAUCAACCGAAUUCGCAAAAAUUCAAACUUUGCCAAUUCAAGCCUAAUUCUACACCGGACCUCCAAAUAUAAUUUUGAUCGCACUCCUAAGUCAUAAAUAGUCCCUUGAAGCUAACUGAGUAUCAGAAUUAAUAUCCGAGCUCUCUAACUAAAUAGUCAACUUCCAGUUGACUUUUCAAGAAUAAGUUUUCCUUUAAGAGACUAAGUGUCUCAAUUCCAUCUUUCCGAUCAACUCAAAUACUGAUAUUGAAACAUAGAGAAGAAUAAUAUGGAAAAAUAGGGUGGUAACUCACAUGACAACGGGUCGGGUCUUCACAGUAUCUAAGCAUGUAUACCUACCCAUUCACGCUGGGUUCUGCCUAUCCAACUCUGGGUCUUAUAGAUCCGAUUAUCCUUAUUUUUACCAAUCAUACCAAGUGACGCUUGGCCAGAUCUAUCCUUCAUUCCAUCAAAUUAUCAAUUUAAUCAGAUACUACUCGAGCCAGGUCGAGGGGAUUCCCUUUAUCCUCGACCAUCUGAUCAGGUUGUACAGCCCUCGCCUUUAUCGAGGUGUCUUGAUAAAACUACAAUGCCGAUCCUCGAAAUCUUUCUUAUUCAGCAUCAAUAAGGACAAAGACUGAGAAUGGAUGAGUCGGUUUGUCCGAGUGAGGACCUCUGACUUGAUUCCUGCUGAGAGGAUGCGAUUCCCCGAGGAAUGGAACAUGAAACAUAAGUACAGCUUAUUGACAGUGACUUUAUACCCUAUUUUCCCUUAUCUUCCUCGACCUUAUUAUUAUCUUUUUCUAGAAAUGACCCCUUUCUGAUAGUGUACUUAUUUCUUGGUUUUCCGGUGCGGUCCCAGACCUCUAAGGUUGAGUACACAAAUUGGCCUGUGCUUCUUCGUAUGCGGACCACAAGGGCGUGACCUGGUCAAAAGUCGAUGGGAAGCUAAAAACUAUAGUGUGUUCUCUUGUCUGCAUACUUAUGUUUCUCAGUAAAAUACUUACUUUAUUUUUUUGCAGACCUCAGAGACGCCAUAUCUAUGCGGCCGCCCCCAUCCGGUGGUGGAGAGACCUCAAUGCCUUCCAAUGGAAAUAAAAGAAAGUGGGGGUUUCCUGUAAAUUCCCCGAAGCCAAAGAAAGCAAGGCUCGAAAGCCUAAGGCCGAUAAUAUGGUCUUGCAUCCUGAAAUGGCCCAACACCUUCGGGAUGAAAACGAAAAGGGAGAGGACGAUGAAUAUCUUCUGGUAGCUCAGAAGAGAGAAAGAUCUAACCUUCGAAGGCCACUGAACUGAGGGAGGCAGAUGUGGGUCAAUAACGAACUGAAAAUAUUUUGAAGGGGAGUUCGAGCAAAGUCCCCGAGCCAUCAAGUGGAAAAAGUGCACCUUAUUCUAGGGACACUUAGUAGAUGAGCUCAAUGAGCUAACUCCGAGCCCUUUCAAAGACAGGACAAUAUCCCAAGUGAAUCACUUGGGGUAAUCAACAGAGAUGACUUCCCAUAGGGCUAGGUGUUCUCUAAAGGGCAAUCCAAUAUGCCCAGGCCAUUGGGACUCCUUAUGUGGGCACGACCCGUGAGGGGAACGAUAUUUUUCUGGAAUGUCUUAUAGGGAUCGAAAAAUGUCCUGACCUUGAUGCCUCAUUUAUUUUUGAGGAGGUCAAAAUACUUUUAAAGCAAGUAAGUUUUGUCUCCCAUUACUUUGAGUUCAUUUCAUUAUCUUUCUAAAUCUAUCUUCUUUUCCUUGUGAGAAGGCCGUGUCGAUUCCACGACAAGCAUUCGCCAAAUCACGAGCUGAGUUUGCACGAUGUGAAGACGAACUUAAGAAGCUCAUGGAGGAGAGGGAUAUCCUUAAUAUCCUCUAUGUCAAAAAAGAGGGGGAUUUCAGCGAUCUUCUAGUUGAAUUAACGAAGUCUUAUCAAGAGCAAACCGAGAUCAUUGAGAAGGUAAUAUAGCCUUUGAGCGUCUAUUAUGCACUUUCUUGUUUUGGCGACUAAUACUUUGAUUUAGUAGUCGCAGCUGAACGGCAAGCUAAUGGAGCAGCUUUGGGAGGAUCUCAAGACAAAAGAGGUUGAGACCCUCGGUUUGAAGCAACACAUAGACUGUCUUGCCUCCGAGAAAGAUGUACUUUCAGGAAUCGCUGGCUUCAAUCGAACGCCAACUCCAUGAUGCAAAGGAGAAAUGCUUUGCCCAGAGUCGUAUAGUCAAGGAGCUCGAAGAUAGAUCUACUGCUGAGUUACCAAAGGCCAGAUCUGAUGCAGAGGUAUUUUUGUUUGAAUAUAGGGCUGAUGCUGAAGCCGCUAACGCCCAGGCAAAUGAGAUCUCUGUUGCGAUCGAAGUUAUGCUAUCUUGUGAACUCGAUCACGCCAGGCGACAGUCCUGGAGGGAAACCUUAUAUUUCGGUAUUGAUUGAUAUGAUUUGAAAGCUCGACUUAUCCGGUAAUGUGUUUUGGGACGUGUUGGUAAAAUUGGUUGAGGUCCCGAGGGUCUCGCGUGGGAUUCGGAUAGUGAUUAGAUCGAGUUUGGACUUGGAAAAAAAGGUUAGCCAACCUGCCUUCUAGUGUAACAGCACCUUUUGGGCCGCAGGUGCGGAGAAAAGAGGUUGCAAGGUAGGAGCAUACUAGAAAGGGGAGGCCAGUGAUCGCAUGUGCGAGAAGGCUUGAGAAUGUGAGGUUUCUUUAAAACGGGGCUUGCCCAUUUUUCUUCCAUUCUCUCUUGGUUGGAUGAAUUUUUGUGAGCUUCAAGUGGGAAUUUUCAUCAUUCAAGUCAAGGUAGGCUAUCCCCACCUCAUUAUAAGUUAAAUACAUAUGUUUAUUGUGGAUUCAAGCAUGAAAAUUAGUAGAAAUUUGGAAUUUUGAAGAAAAAUACAAGAAAUUGGUAUUCUUGAAUUUGAACACAAUUUUUGGACAUGGAAAUGAGAAUAAAUUAUAUAUUUGAGUUCGUAAGGUUAUUGAAAAAGUUUAUCUUCAAAAAAUUUCAGAAUACGGGUAUGUGUACCCGAGGGUGAUUUUAUCAACUUUUCCAGCAUAGUUGGGAAUUGUUGUAAAUUGAAUUGUUAUGAGUAAUAGAGUAUAUUUUUAUUGGUUUGCACAUUGUUUGGAUAGUUAUGGACCGUUAUGCAUCGGUUUGAAGUGCUAGAGUUGCGUUGGAGUCGGUUAUGGAACUUUGGAGCGAGACAAGUCUCCUUUCUAACCUUAUAAGAGGGAAUUAACCCUAUAGGUGAACUAAAUUAUUAUCUGCUUCUAUUUAUGGGAGCUACGUAUGCACGAGAUGAUGAGAGUUUGUAUGUAGCUACUAGCUAUGCCUAUGUUCGGAUAGUUUUAGGCUUACAUCAUGUCUUGUUAUGUUGUUGUUAACUUAUGUUUAUUAUUUGUCUUGAGAAGAAGAGAGAUUGGGUUAGCUUAUUAAAUGUUUUGAAAGGAGUUGAAAUUGAGGAAAAGUUAGGAACUUAAAAAUUUUCAUUUAAAAUUCAUAAUUUUAAAAAAAAUUGAGGAAUACUUUAAUACCUUAGGAAAUUUAUUCGUAACCGCGUGGCAUGUAUGUUUCGCGAAUAGGGUAAUUUACUUAAAAAGCUACAAGUUGAGUUUCCCUUAUUUUGAAAAGAAUCAAUAAAGAGAUAUGAUUGAAUGUUAAAUUUAUAUUUGACUGGGUUAGAGGUAGGAUUUGCGAGCAGGGAUUCCUUAUAAUUAUUUUUAAUCGCAUCACACUUAUGAUUCGCAAGCAGGGUACUUCCUUCUACUACUCUUAUGGGAUCGGGCCGCUCGCGUAGGCAAGAUUUAUGUACCACACUUUAAUUUAGUGGGUCGUUCCCUUGGCAGGUUAAUUGAUGCAUCUAUGGUUCGCCUCGUUCGAUCCUCGGCAAUGCAUAAUUUACGUUUAUUGUUGAUCGGGCCAUAAGCCUUGGUAUUUCUGGAAUCGUGUGUAACAUUUGGCUAGAAGUCAGUGUAUCUGAGAGUUUUUCUCCUGAUUCGAAUUAUGACAACCUUUUGAUGAUAUCCACUAUAUCUUUACAUAUAUUCUCCGGUAAUGGAGGGAACUUUCUAGUUAGGAGUUUGAGUAAAAUUGUAAAUAUGGGAAUUAUACCACGUGUCAUUGGACGACUAGUAAGUAUCGAAGUCAACCUCUCGUCACUACUCUUCGAGGUUAGACUGGAUACUUACUAGGUACGCAUUAUUUCCGUACUCAUAAUACACUUAUUGUGCAUUUUUAUUUCACAUGCACCUAUAUGACUAGUGGCCAAAUGAACACAACGGCAUGCCAAUAAGGAGACUUAGAUGAGAUGGAUCUCUCGAGAUGACCCACAGCCAGUAAAGGUUCCUUCAAAGUAUUGUAUUUCUUUUCUAUCAAAUUUAGAUUCCAAAAACUUAUUGUAUUUUAUUUUAUUUACUAGUAAUUUCUCAUGCACUUGAGAUACCAGGUUCUUGGGCGAUUAUGGGAUAUUCUGUGUUCAAAAUCGAAAAAUAUUAUUAUUUACUUUAUAAAUUUCAUCUGUUACUAGUAAAAUUGAAGAAAACUUCAUGACUUCAAAAAUAAAUAAAAGAGAAUUUAGUUAAAUGUUUAGUGUUGGAUAACCUGACAGUCGUGUAUGGCGUCAUCAUGUUCUUUAACUAAUAUUGUGUCAUGAAAAUAUAGUAUCAGAGCACUACGUUCACUUAGGUGUCACGAGUCAUGAAGAAGUCUUGUACAGUCUUGCAGAUCGAUACGGAGACAUCUAUACUUAUCUUCGGGACAAUAGGGUUGUUAGGAGCACUUCCCUUCUUGAUUACCCAUCGUGCAGUUUGAUUACUUUGAGUCUUAUGCCUUUGUUUCUUUCCUACUCAAUCCUAUGUGAUGUGAAACGCUUACUAUCAAACGAAUUGAGGAAUCGUAAUGGUACUACAGUUGCGGUGCUGGAUGUUCCCCCCUCUGUAGUUUAUUGGGAUAUCAUCAUCACCUUAAGGAUGGAUAUUUCAUCAUAUUAGCUUAUCGAUUGUACUUAUAAGAGCUUCGUGGCUACACACACGUCGCUAUGUUGCUCAUGAUUUGUUAUCGUACAUUAUUGAGGUGAUGGUGAGAUGCUUGUGUAAGGCCCCGAAAAAUAUUUCUAGGUAAUUUGAGAUUUGUCGUGCCAAUGUCAGCUAAUUAUUUCAUUUUGUGUGAAAAUGAGGAUUCAUGAUAUAAUGGGUAUCAAUUGGAUAUGUUAAUAAGCAUAUAAUUAAUACUAGAGGCAAAUUGGGGUCUAAAGAGAGGCCUAAGUCUAAGCCAAGUUUGAACAUUUCAUAUUAAACGAAAUCUGUAAAUGAGUGCCCACAAGACCUGACUUUGGACAAUCAUAUCUUCAGUUAUAUAAGGAUUUGUCUGAUGCGCAACCUAUGAAAUUAAAGUACUUUGAGUCUAGUUUCCAAUGCAACAAACCGUUUGUCAUUUGGAAGUGCAUACAGAACAUUAUGACCAUUUUACCAAACAUACGUCACCAGCGCGCCUAGGCGCGCGGCCGUAGGGUGGACCGCGAGGCAUACUGCCUGGAACCGUGUGGUUGACCACGGUGGAACGCCGGGACCGUGGGGAAAACAUGUGAAAUGUCUAAAAUACCCCUGGUCAGUGUAACAACCAAAGGGGAUACCACCUUUCCUUCAUUUUUUUCAUUCAAGCUCGAAUUUGGCAAGAUUUCUUCAUCCUCCCAAGACCUCCAACCCCUCCCAUCAUCAAGGUAAGUAAUACUUAUGAUCUUGGUGUGAAAUUACAUCAUUUAUACACUAAUAUGGACGAAAUCUUCAUAUGAACAUAUAUAUUUUUCAAGAAAUUCCUUCAAGAACCCAAAAAAAGAUUUUGCAAUAUUUCUUCCAAAAAGGUAAAUCCUACACCUUAGACUUACAUAUAUGGAGUUAUUAUGAAAAUAUGAGUAUGGAUUAAGUAUUUUAAUAACUCAUGGGAUAGUGAUUGGAAGACAUAGGUGCCUAACUGUGAUUGUGUUGGUAUUGUAGAGAUUGUGAGAUGGGUUGUUGAGGUAUGAUUCUUGGGGUAAUAGUAUUAUGUAUUCAUGCAUGUGCAAAUUAGGUUUGUGGGAAAAUUGAUUUAUAUAAAUAAAUAAAUAUGGGGUUGGCGAAUGAAGGAAGUCUUGUAAAAGAGAUUAAAAAUCAAGAUGCUCAACUAGUAUGUGACAAAGUGCUCAAAUACGCUUAAACCAUGAAUACCUUCCUAAAUUGUGUUCAAUUUCUGUUAUGUUUCAAGUAGAUUGGGAUUGCUAGAAUUUCUGAAACAUCAUAUUAACAAAAGGAAAUCCUAAACGAGGUAUAUAUGGCUAAAAACCCCUUUUAUUAGAAAUUGAGCUCUGUUGGUGUUUACGAAAGUAUGGUAAGAUUGGAUUGGUUAAUGUAUUGAUUGUUGUUGCUCAUUAAUUAACCUGCAAUUAUAUACACAAAUAAAUAAAGGAUGUACCUCAAUAGGUUUAAUGUACUAUUCUUGAUAAUUAGAGAAGGAUGAAAAAUACAAUUAUGUGUUGAAAUGCCUGGGCUAUAAGCCAAUAUCAAAACGGAGAAUUAUGCAUGCUAGCUAUGUGUUCACUUACCUUGAUUGCAAGUUGAAUUGUUUUUGUAUAUGCCUAAGAUCACAACUUGCAAGAUGAGUAUUGACAAUAGAAAAUAAUGUGAUAAUGGUGGCCCUAAGUGCCAAGGAAUAUAUAUGAGGUAUGUGAAAUAAAGAUUUCGAUGUGCUGACUAAUGAGAAAGGAAUAAUGCCUAGGCAAGGCGACCUAGUCGAUCAGGUUGUAAUCAGACACCAUGUUGCACGCAUGGUGGAAAUGUGAUGAUAUUGAAUUUAAAAUAAGAGGAAUAAAAUUUUAAUGAGAUAUAUGCCUCCAAUGAGGUGACCUAGCCAGUCGGGUCGUGAUCGGACUCCACUCAAGGCAAUGGUGGUAUUGAGACCAAUGAUGAACAUAUGAAAGAAAUUCCCCAAACUAAGUUUUGGAAAUUAUAUGAAGAUUAUGUGAUUUGCACACUUGAUUUACUCAUGCGAUUUACUUGUACUUGUUUGACUGUUCUUUCUAGUAAAAUGGUGUUUAGUUAUACAUACUAGUACUACUCCAUGGUACUAAGGUCCCUUUUGCUGGGGGUGCUACAUUUUUAAAUGAAUGUAGAUGGCUCCAUAGCAGAUAGUGCCGAUUGUGUGUAGCAGAGCAUCCUUCUUCACAGAGUCUUGGUGAGCCCCUUUCUCCUUCAAGGUGUUAUAUUGUGCAUCUUCUUAUUUUGGACUUUCACUUUUGAGGUAUAGCUGGGGCCUUUUUGCCGGCGUUGUUAUCACUGUCUUUUGUAUCCUUAGAGGCUCCAUAGACGUUUGUGUGGGUUAUGUUUGGGUAUUGGAUAGGUCAAUGGACCAUGUUGUAACUUUGUACUCUUGCUUUUUCUAAACUAUAACUUGUAUGGAACCUUGGAAGUUUAACCACAUUUUAUUGUUAUGAUAUAAAGUGAACUAAGAUACUGAAUGUACUAUUGUUCCUAUUUUAAAUAAAGGUAAGCAUGGCUUCCUUAUUCCUAUUGAGUUGGGUAGGUAGUGGUCGAUAAGGCUUGCUCAGUUGGGUUCACUUGAUUGAGCGCCGGUCGUGCCUCCCGAAGUUGGGGUAUUACAUUUUGCCUAUGUGUCAAGGCAGUGAAUGACUUGAGAUGAGGUUUGCUUAGUGCAUGUUUCAGAGAUUCAGUAUUUUAAUUCUGUUCAAGGAAAAAGCAAUCGGACUAUGAAUGUUCAAGUUUGGGUUGACGAAGAGCUAGACUUGGUACUUUCAAGGGUGUGAUGCAAUGUCAUUGACCUUGUUGAAUACGUUAAGUUUGCCAAUGUUAUAGUUUUCUUCAACUCGCCUUUAGGGAAUGGUAGUGUGAAAAAUUGCCAGAGAAGUGUAUAUCAAAGGUCAAUGUGUCAUGCGGUGGUUAGACUUCUAGAAGGCCAAGUGUGAGAAAUAGGAGUCGAGUAGGUGCUUAAAGGAGUCAAAUUGACCAAAGCGGGAGAAUGGCAAAGUAGCAUAUGGGUUCUGUUGCACGAUGAGUACAUGCCUUGAUAAGAGUUUAGAGCUAUUUAGGAUUCAUGGUGGACAAUGGUUUGGUCUACGGACUUAAUUUAGUAUAUUGGCUAUUAUUCAGGAGAAGUCGAAUACGACAUAAAAGAGUGCUUGAUAUGAAGAAGAGUACAACAUAACUUUGGAUUGAGGUGUAUUGUCGCACCUUUUAGUUGAUGUCCAUGAUAAGUGAAUGGACUCGUACAACUAGAAAUUGAGCAUGGGCUCAGGAUGGUUACUGAUUUUGUAUCAACUGUUCCUAGUUCAGCGACAAAUGAAAAAUCUUGGUCGGUUCCAUGUUUAUGCAAUGGUAGCUUCAAGAUAAGUGGGAGGGUCCUACAGCCUAAGAUUGGAUUUUAUAGUUAUCUACUUGUGAGAUCUCUGGUGAUCGGCAUAUUGAUGGGUUAUUAUGACUAAAGAAACAGAACAUUAGUAGUGAUUUGAGCAAAGGAUUUGAGAAAUGUGUGCUAUAAUUGGCCUUAUUAAUUCAUGUUGAGAAUUUGGUAAGACUCGAGAUGAAUGCUACAUAUAGAGGUAAUCUGUAGGGAAAAUGAUCUAGUGGGAUGCCUCUUUGAGAGGGUGUUCAUGUGCUAGCGAAACCUUGGGAGUUUGAUUAUAUUUGGUACUAAGCAGUGGGUGACUCACACAAUAGUCCUAGUGGAUUCAAAAGUUAAAGUGUGGUGCCUAAGGAUUUUGAGUCCAUAGUAUGGUUGAGUAUCGAGCUUUUGUAGUAGAUUAUGAUAAAGGAGAUUGGAGUGUUUAGUGUUAUCUUUUGUCUACGGUAUUAAAUUUUGGGUGCAAAUGAUUUCGAAUUCAUAGAGGAAUUUCAGAAUGGAUGUACCCGUUUAAGACGUGAUUGUGCGCACAAGGAGAAUAUGAAAUGGUUAAUGGGUUAGAGACAAUGUGGCCGUAUGAAAUGGGGUCGCUCAAGACAAGUGCAGAUUAAGUUCACUAUGUUUUGAAUGGAGCUAUUAUUAUUCCUAAGGCAAGUCAAGGGUAAAUUAAAAUAAGUUGGAUUGGUUAGAAAUGGUUGAAUUGGCAUGAUGAUGGCAAUGAUCAGCUUAUUCAGUAUGUUGAGUUACUCGUGUGGUUUGUGACGGUACGUCCGAGGUUUUAUAGUCACCAUAAUUGAUUUUAUUUUGAGGAUUUCGGUAUUAUUGCAUGUUACGUGAAAAUGGGUUCCGGAAGAGUUGUGGUUUUUUAGACCACUAUUUGAGGUUGGUGUUUUCUACGGAUAUGAGGAAUCAAUCAUGAGUUUCAAUGGUUCUCUUAGAAAGAGUUAAGUAAAAGGUUCCUUUAUGAUGAAGUGUCUAUCCUAUUGGUGGUUCAGGAGUUUUGAUGAAAUAUUUGUACUAUUAUGUAUUGGCAUGAUUAGGUGCAGUGGGUAGCAUGGGAAUUGGAAGUUGAGGAUCAAGGUUGUUGUUUGGUGUUGGAAAGAAUAUCACGAGCUCGGAGGAGCAGGGAUAAAGGGUUCAAAUGGUUAGACCAAGCUGGUAUUAUUUUCAACAUCAAUUGAGAUCGGCGUAUUGUGUAAAAGGCUCUGCCUACUGGUUGUGGAUUCUUGAAUUGUUUUACGACAUUAGUGCGUCUGGUGGUACAGAUGUGUAGAUUAUUACCUGGCGCGGAAGGUCGUGGGGCGUACCCCACGGGAAGAUUGUAUUAGAGUGACAUGUAUUCACUUGAUUGAUUGAAGAUUGAAACCAAGUAAGAAGAUUGCGGUAAUAUUACUAAUCUAAUAAUUUAUCCCUAGAGGGCCCUCAGUCCAUUUGGAUGUGGACUGUGGAAGUUUUUCCCAGUUACGACGGUUGCUCUUGUGUAUAAUAACAAAAAGGGUUACGGUGAAUCCUUGAAAGAUUAUUAGCCUAGUGCGGUACAAUCAGAAUUGGCUUGAGGUCCGUAAAUGCAUCUAAAUAUGAUUGUAGAUCAUGUCGGAUGUAUUUAUUUCAGCAUAGCGUUCCUUAUGGAGGAGUACUAGUGCUUUAGGUGUUACUUCAUUGUCUGUUAAUUAAGGUGAUACUGUAAUGUGUCAUGUGGGUUAUGAAACGGCUGAAUUUAUUGUAUGUGUUGAGGUUCCGCGUACCGAUUGUGUUAUGUAAGAAUAAUGACUCUCGAAAUAUAGUUCAUUUAUUGCACCUUAUUCGUGUUUGAGUUUCGUAGUUUAUGGGACUAUAUGUAUCCCCAGGGUUUGUAUUAUGCACUUCGCGUGCCAGUAGUUGAUAUUCGUUUUUUCACAGGUAUGAGCAUUUUAGCUCAGUAAGUAUUUCCCUAGUAGAUUGUGAUGUUUUGUUCGGGUGACACGCCUCCACGGGUAUCAUGUGUGGAUCCGGUUACAUGCUAUAAUAGUGUGAUGUUGAGUACAGUCCCCUAUAUUUAUUUUGGUGCAUUUUGUUUCCCAUUUUACGAGGAAGGUUCAUGACACCUUUUCGGUUGUCUAAUUAGUUACGUGGGUGGAGUAGUUCCUUCCAUAGUUCGUUUUCCUUAUGUAUCACAUUUGAGUUGUUGAUUAUUGGCACGUUGUGGACUCAUAUAAGAAUUUUAGUAGUGUCUGAGGUGUUUUAUUUUGUGGGCAUCUUAUACUGGAUGGGACAAGAUUAUGGUACCUGGUAUCAGUGUGGUCAGAUUUGUAUGAACUAUAGUAAAGAGAAAAUAUAGUUAUUUGGUUCAUAAUGAGAUAAUGGUUCUUGUCAGGAGGAGAGGCUCAAUGAAUUAUUGACUUGGCAGUCGGUUAUGAAUUUCUUUGCAUCUCUUUCGUCAUGGCAGUAUUGCAGUAGUUGGAACGGGACAUAUAUACGUCAGGAAAUGCAUUGGGAGCAUCAUAUUCGUGAAAUUUCGUCUAUUAUUAUCAGAGGAUUUUAUUUUGGUUAUGUGAGUUAUGAAGUGCCUAGUAUGGAUUCAGAAAAGGUAUGUUAAUCAUGUAUCAGUGUAUCGUGUGUUGAUUGAUACGGUGUUCAUAUGAUGGAAAUAGGCCUGGAAGAGAAUUUCGGGUGUUGGAAUUGUGCUCUGAUGCUUACUCACAUAAAUAAAAGAGGAUAUCUUCAUAUUUGCUCCAGCUAAUAAGCUCAAAUGAGUUGUAGUGUAAUGGGUAGGAGCACGAAGUGUUAAGGAGCGAUUUCACACAACUCCAAUGCAGUUCUUAGCACGUUCAAGGCAAAAUGUAUGUUUAACCGAGAGAGACUGUAACGACUCGACUAAUCAUUUUGUGCUCUUGCAGGUCGUUCAGCGGUUUGAGGCUAUGAGCAACUUCACUUAAGGUAUUAUGAAUUGCAUGUGUGGUCAUAAUUGAAUUUUAGGAAGUUCAGAGUUGAUUUGGAAAGAAAAUUCUCAUUUCGGAAGCUUUAAGUUGGAAGAAUUGACUAAAGUGUGAUUUUUAAGUAAACGACAUCAAAAUCGGGAUAUGAUGGUUCCAACGGGUUCAUAUGGUGAUUUUGGACUUGAGCAUAUGUUCAGUAUCGGGUUUUGACUGACUUGGGAGCUUGUCGGCGCCUAUUGUGGAAGUUGGCAUUUGGAAGAAUUUCAUAAAUUUAGGUUAAGGUGUAUCUCAAUGUUAUAAAUGUUCCUCAGAUUUAGAGUCUAGGAAUAGCUUUGUAUGGGGAUUUUACUAUAGGAAACCCAUCCUGAACUGAAUUUUGAGAUCUGUACGUCAUCUUUGGGUCAUCUGCUGAAAUUUAUAAAUUUGAAGGUUUUUGAAAUGUUUGACCGAGAGUGUACUUUUUUAUAUGGAGGCCGGAUUUCAAUUCUGGCAGUUGGAGUAGGUUCAUAAUGUCGAAUAUGACCUGUGUGCAAAAUUUGAGGUCAAUGGGACAUGAUUUGGUAGGUUUCGGCAUUGAAUGUAGAAGUUUAAAGUUCUAAAGUCAUAAAGCUUGAAUUGAGUUGCGAUAUGUAAUUUCUAUAUUGUUUGAUGUGAUUUGAUGGCACAGCUAAGUUUGUAAUGUAUUUUGGGACAUGUUGGUAAAAUUGGUUGAGGUCCUUAAGGCCUCGAGUGAGAUUCGGACGGUGAACAUAUCGAGUUUGGACUUGGAAGAAAGCUUAGAGAAGGUUCCUUUUGGUGUAACCGUAUCUGCGAGUUUUGGACCGCACGAGCGGGGCCGCAUAGCAGCCACAGGGCCGUAGAAGAGGACAGGAAAAUGGGGGCCAGUGACCGCAAAAGUGGACCAGAGAUCACACCUGCGAAGGCGCAGGGUACGAAGGAAGCCAUCGCAGAAGUGGCACGAGCGCCACAAAAGUGGCCUAUGCAUUGCAGAAGCGGCCUAUGCUGGAGGCAGUGAGGUUUCUUUAAAAUGGAGGUUUGGCCAUUUCUCUUCCAUUCUCUCUUGGCUAGACGAUUUUUGGAGAGCUUCAGGUGGGGAUUUUCAUAAUUCAAAUCAAGCUAAGUUAUUCACACCGCAUUAUAAGUUAAAUAUAUGGUUUUAUUAUGGACUCAAGCAUGAAAUUAGGUAAAAAUUUGGGAUUUUAAAGAAAAAGCCGAGAAAUUGGUAUUCUUGGAUUUUGACUACGAUUUAGGUAUGUAAUUGAGAAUAAACUAUAUAUUUGAGUUGAUAAGGUUAUGGGUGAUGUUUAUCUUUGAAAAUUUUAAAAUUUAUGUACGUGGGCCCGAGGUUGACUUUAUCGACUUUCCGAGCAUAAUUAGGAAAUGUUGUAAAUUGAAUUGUUAUGAGUAGUAGAGAAUACUUUUAUUUGUUUGCACAUUGUUUAGCAAGUUUUGGAGCGUUGGACAUCGGUUUUAGGUGAUAGAGUGGCAUAUGAGUCUGUUAUGGAACUUCGGAGCAAGGCAAGUUUUCUUUCUAACAUUGUAAGAGGGAAUUAACCCCAUAGGUGAACAAAAUUAUUAUGUACUUCGAUUUGUGAGGGCCAUGUAUGCAAAAGGUGUGGAGAGUCUGUACGUAGCUACUAGCUAUGCCUAUAUCCAGGUAGUUUUAGGCUUACAUCAUGCUUUGUUGAUACUGAUGUUAAUUUAUGUUUAUUAUUUAUCUUGAGAAGAAGAGAGAUUGAGUUAGCGUCUUAAAUGUUUUGAAAGGAGUUCAAAUUGAGGAAAAGUUGGUAACUUAAAAUUUUUCCUUUAAAAUUCAUAAUUUAAAAAAAAACCUGAGGAAUACUUUAAUAACUUAAGAAAUCUUUGUGUAACUGUGUCGCAUGUAUGUUUUGCAAGCAGGGUAAUUUCCUUAAAAAGCUACAUGUUGCAUUUUCCUUACUUCGAAAAUAAUCAAGAAAUAAAUAUGAUUUUAAUGUUAAAUGUUUAUUUGCACACGUCACAAAUAUGAUCUGAGAGCGGCUAUUUCUUAAAUUUAUAUUUGACUGGGUCGCACGUACGAUUCACGAGCAGGGUAUUUUAAUCUAAUACUCUUAUGGGAUCAGGACGUCCGCCAUGGCAGGAUUUAUGUACCACAAUCUCAUGGGAGCGGGCCGUUCGCCUUAACAGGUUAAUAGAUCCAUCUUGGUUUGCAUCGAUCGACCCUCGGUAGUGUACAAUUUACUUUUAUGUUGGAUAGAGCCGUACGCUUCGGCAUUUCCUAUAUAUAUAUAUAUUUAUAUACACACACACACACACACACUUAUUAUUCUCCUGGAAUCGUACAUAAUCUUUGGGUAGAAGCCAGUGUAUCUGAGGAUUUUUCUCCUGAUUUGAAUUAUGACAAUCUCUUGAUGAUAUCCUCUAUACCUCUAUAUAUUUGCUCCGGUUAUAGAGGAAAGUUGCUAGUUCUGAUCUUGAGUAAAAAUAUAAAGAGAGGAAUUGUACCACGUAUUUUAUACAUGUUUAUUUCAUAUAUUUACUCUGCUUCAUUCUUGUUCACUUAUUUACUAUAUCUGAUAUCAUUGGACCACUAGUAAGAGUCAAAAUCGACCUCUCGUCACUACUUCUUUGAGGUUAGACUGGAUACUUAAUGGGUACCCGUUGUUUUCGUAUUUGUGUGAAUUUUUGUUGCACAGGCACCUGCAUGACUACUGAUCUAGUGGGUGCAGCGGCAUGGCCGAUACAGAGACUUAGGUAAGUUCCAUCUCUCGAGAAGACCAACAGCCAACAGAGUCUCCUUUAGAGUAUUGUAUUUACUUGUGUCCAAAUUUAUAAUCCAGAAAGUUAUUGUAUUUUAUUUUUUUCCUAGUGAUUGCGCAUGCAUUUGUGACACCGGGUUCUGGGCUGAAUAUGGGAUAUUUAGUGUUGAAAAUUGGAUAAUAUUAUUAUUUAGUUUAUAAAGUUCAUAUGUUACUAGUGGAAUUGAAGAAAACUUCACGAUUUCAACAAUAAAUAUAACAGAGUUUGAUUAAAUAUUUGGGUCCCGCGCCAUCAAUACCUUUAUCGGAUUUUGGGUCGUGACACCAUUCCUCGUUCUUUGACGUUUUAGGGCAUAAAACAUAAAUUUUUCCCCCAACUCUCAGAUUUUGAGUAUUGUACACCUCGCCAUCUAUAUGGGCCUUGGGAAUCGGAAUCAAAUUGCAUAUAUUUUGUCGGCCCAUAAAAAAUACCUAAUGAACAAUAUUCAUCGCCUCGCCGUGAUUGUUCCUCAUUUUUUGGGUACCCGCGCUCACUGUGGGGGUGCAGACUCCGGAGAGACUCCUACAGCCCAAGCGCUACAUCGUCACAAGGCAUGAAAGCCUAUACAUAUUAACAUGAGGCCUGAAAUCCUGUACAUAUCAAAAUGAGGCCUGAAAUCCUUUUCACAAUACACUCGAGCCCUGAAAGCCUCCUCACAUAUCACUAGAGGCCUAAAAGCCUCCUCAUAUCACUCAGCAUAUCCUCACAUAUACCCCUCGACCUCGACCAGUCCAGAAAAUAAUCAUAAGCCCCUUGGGCAACAGUAAAACAAUAGUGCUCAGCUCAAACAUCAGUUCAGAUAUCAUUUAAAUCUCAAGCUGAGUAAAAGUAUAGCUGAGUUCAUGAAAUAGUGUAAUUUAAUUGGAGUGAGUUCAAGUAAUAUUUAAAAUAGCGAGGAAACAGUGAUGAAAGUUCAAAAAGGAUUGUAAAUAGUCGACAAUAAGCCCCAAUUAUGGCAAUAAGCCCAAGUUAUAGUGAAACAAAACAAGUCUUAGUCAAUUACGCGGGAAAAUAUCAACCGGAACAGAACACGUCACAAUCCCCAAUUGCAAAUGACCCCGCACUCGUCAUUUAGCACGUGUCUCACCUCAAUAUAUCACUACGAUGUACAAUACGGGGUUUCAAACUCUCAAGAUUUCAUUAACAAGCAUUACUCACCUCGAACCGGUGAAAUUUCUAGCUUGCGAUGCCCUUACCCCUCUAAUCAGCCUCCACGUGUGUCGAAUCUAACUAAAUUAGAGCGAAUACAUCACAAUAUGCUAAGGGAACAAUACCUUGAAAACAAUCGAAAAAUAUCAAGAAUCUCGAAAUUAGAAAAACCCAAGCCCCAGGCCCACUUCUCGAAUAUUAGAAAAUUCAACAUCAAUGGAUUCCUCAUAUUCACACGAGUUCAAACAUACCAAGAACUCUCAAAUCGGAGCUCAAAUGAUCCAUCAAAUCCCAAUUUGAAAUAUCAAAAACUUAAGCCCUAGAUCAUCAGUUUUUGGCUCAAUUUCCAUGAUAUUUCUAGGUUAAUUCUCAUAAUAAUCAUGUUUUUAACUCGUAAAACCAACCUCUAGUCAGUCCUAGUCGAUACCCACUGCAUUUUUUUCUAAAAAGCUCUCAAGAUGUUCAAUAAAGGAGGAAAAUAACUUAGGCUCGCGGAUGAAAUAUUCAAUAAAAACCCUUCUGCCCAGGUCAUUUUACUCUGUGUGAACGCGGUCAAAUCCUCGCGUCCGUGAUGAACAAAGACCCAUUGACCAAAAUUAACCCUUCGCGAAUGCGGUGCCAAACCCACAAACGUGAACCUUCUGGAACCUCAACUACGCGAACGCGUCCCCAUGGCCGCGAACGCGAUGCUCACUUCCAAGACCCUCCGCAAAUGGAAUGACAGAGUCGUCGAACGCGAUGAACGAAUAUUCAAGGGCCCAACUUCCUUCUACACGAACAUGUGAUCCUCACCACGAAUGUGAAGAUUUAGGAUUUACCUCUCCGCGAACGUGGGACUGCCUUCGCGAUCGGGAAGGCUUAUUCAUACCUGCACUGCUUCUGCAUUUUUCUGAUGCGUCACCAAGUUUAAAACUCUCCGCUAAGCCAUCCGAGUUCAUCCCGAGGCCCCUGGGACCUAACACAAAAGCGCCAACAUAUCUUAAAACAUCAUCCAAACUUUCUCCAAUCAUCAAAACGUAUCAACUAACACUAAAAUCAUCAAUUCACAUCGGAUUCAAGCCUAUGUUCUUCCAAAACUUGUAAAACACCCACUCGAUCAAAAAUCCAACCAAAUCACCUUCGAAUCAUCUAAACUUUUUCACACACAUUCCAGAUCGUCUAACGGAGCUAAUGCAACUCUUAGAAUUCCAUUCCGACCCUCGGAUCAAAAUCUCACCUAUCAACCGGAUAUCGCCGAAAUGCUAACUUUGCCAUUUCAAGCUUCUACACUGGACCUCCAAAAUCACUUCUGAUCACGCUUCCAAGUCACAAAUCAUCCCCGAAGCUAACCGACUCACCGAAAAUCAUAUCUGAGCCUUCUAACUCAUAAGUCAAAUAUCCGUUUGACUUUUUCCAAACCAAACCUUCGUUAAAGAGACUAAGUGUCUCAUUUCCAACCUAAACCAAUCCAAUUCAACUCUAACACACCAAACGCCAAUAAUAAAAUGUCAAGAAGCAUAAAAAUAGGGGAAACGAGAUGGUAACUCAUGAAACUAUGGGUCGGGUCGUCGAAGGUACACUAUUCAUCUCCCCUUUAAUAUUCACAUACAUUUUAUUAUAUAAUAUUUUAAUUUAUCUCUUUAUAUAUACCUAAUUAUGUUUAUAUAAUGUCUUUCUAAUAUUAAUUUUACAUCUCUAACGACCCAGUCGUUCAUUCUGAGAUUUUAAGCCCCAUUUUCCUCAUAUAUGCUUGUUUAAGUGUUGUUAAGUUGUGUUAAGUUUUAUCGAGUUGGUACGUUUUGGUUCAGAGUAGUUUUGGAGUCAAAUGAAUACUUAGUCUCUUAGUUAGAAAGCUAAGUUGGAAAAGUCAACCGAAAGUUGACUUAUGAGUCGACGAAUUCAGAUUCUGAUUUUGUGGAUUCAAUUAGCUUUGUUAGGUGAUUUUAGGCUUAGAAGUGUGUCUGUAAUGCAAUUUGGUGACCCAUGAUAGAAUUAGGCUUGAAUUGGCGAAAGUUGGAAGUUUAGAAGUACUUAGGCUUGAAUUCGAGGUUGAUUUGGUAUUUUGGUGUUGUUUUAGAUGUUUCAGAGGUUAGACAAAGUUCGGGUAGUCAUAUAUGACUUGUUGAAAUUAUUGGUUGCGGUCUCGAGGGCCUCGAUGAGUUUCGGAGAGGUUUGGGUUGUGUUGCGCUCAUUUUUCUAAUGUUUCGAUGUCGUUUCUUCAAGCAUAAAUGAUAUUAAAUUGAACAAAGGAGCUUUGAUUUCCUUUUUAACUUAAGAAUUAGAUCUGUAUCGUAAUUACGGACUUGUAUCAAAAAGAAUCAUCAAAUUUGGAUAUCAUAUGCAGAUUUUAUGAUCAUUUUGCUAAGAAUUAGGUUGCCUAUUUUUUUAGUAUUAAUAACAGAAUUGCCACUGAUAGCGUAAUUAAAAAUUUGUACUAUUUGCAAAUAUUAAAACUUACAUAUCUCAUUUGUUAUAAGGUCAAAUUGACUGAUUCAAAAGCCUAACUUAGACUAGAAUUUCACUAGAAAUUCAUUGGAGGCAUAAAAUACGAGUUUCAGGACUGUUUCGCAUGAAAAAUGAGGCAGAAUAGCUGGCAGAAAAAUAUAUAAAAUUAGUGUUUGUUCAUUUGGUCAUAUUUUUAGUUGGGGAGCUCAGAUUUGGGCUAUUUUGGAGGCGAUUUUCACCACAUGGAUUGGGGUAAGCGAUCUUUACUGAAUUUUCAUUAUAUUUCAUGAAUCCAUCUUCGUUUCUAGAAUUUGAUUGAUGAUUUCAAAGUGAAUGGGAGUUAGGGUUUAUAUUUUGGAUAUAUUUAAGUGGGGAUUUGAGGGACCAAACGGAGUCCUAUUUUGAAGAAUUUUAUAUGGUUAGACUUGGAAGAGGACGAGGAUUAAUAUUCUAAAAGUUUUGACUGAUUCUGAGACAUGAGCUUAGGGGCGGGUUUUGGCAAAUUUCGAAUAUUUGGAAUAUUUUGUAGGUUUUAUUGUGGAAUUCGAUUCUUUAUCACAUAUUGAUAAUAUUAUUCUUAUUAUGGCUAGAUUUAGAGCUUUUGGAGGCCGAUUCAAUAGACGGGGGCAUCCCCAAGUAGAUUUUAUGUUGUUGAGGUAAGUAACCAUUUUAACUCUCGCUUUGAGGGUAUAAACCCGGAGAUUUGAUAUCAUGUAAUUGUGUGGAAGUGAUACUCAUGCUAGGUGACGGUCGUGUGGGUGUUCACCUUGAGGGAUUGAGACUUGCUCUGUCCGUGAGGCUAGAGCCCUAAUGGCUAUUAUCUGUGUUUACGUAGUUACUUGUUGUUGAACGUGUUUGCCUUCUUGUUAGAGUUCAUGUUUAGGAUUUAUUCAUGCUCACAUUAUUUGUACUUAGUCAUAGAAAUUAGUGUACAUGUGUGCCUCAGUCUCUAUUAUUUGCUAAUAUGUUGUGGUACUUGACGUGGGCUAUGUCUCCUUAUUUGUUGAUGAUGGUGAGGCUAGUGAGGUCCAUGAUUGAGUAAGACUGGGGGCCUUUUUGUAAGGAUAUUAAUACCAUUGUGCACGAGUUAUCUGCGCGCACGUGAGUUGACCGUGCGGGUUUGGCUAUUUAUACCAUAGCGCGUGAGUUGUGUGUGUAUCAUGUGAGUUGACCGCAUGGAUUCAGACAUGGAUAUGAUAGCACGUGAGUUUUCGUGCUUUGCGCUUGGGCUUUGGGAGACCCUCCAGAGUCUGUACAUGCCUCUAAUGAGCAUAGAGUCCUGACUUUAUUAAGUGUUGAGUGUUGAGUGCGAGUGAUGAGUGAUGGACUGACAUUGUAGUAAGGUUGCAUUUACUUUUGUUGUCGCUGCAUUUACUUGUUAAAUUUCUUUGUGGAAUUUAGUGGGUUAUGAAAUUUACCUAUUUAUUCCUGUUAUUUUUAAAUUGUGAAAAUAAAUAAUUGGAUUGUUUUGCUUAGCUUGUCACUACUGCUCAGUUCCUUAGUUAUUUCUGUUACUAUUGAGUCGGUUGUACUUAUUCUAUACCCUGCACUUUAUGUGAUGAUCCAGAUGAGUUAGAGCGCGGAGAUCGUUUAUUUCAGGCUGGGUAAUGGCUAAAAUCCUCAUGACCUUGUUGCUCCUCUUUUCAUUUCUUCGUCAGGAUGAUUCGAAAAUUAUAUAUCUUAGUUCAUAAUUUUAGACGCUCAUGACUUAGUAACAACUCGAUAUUUGGGGCUUGUUGUUGUAUUUUUUAUAUUAUGUUUAGAGUUGAUUUAAGAAAAAUUUAAAUGUUGAAAUUUUUAUUAUUUACUUACAAUCAAAUUAAUAUUAAUAUAUAAGAAAUAGGCUUGCCUUGUAAUACGAUAGGCGCAAUCAUGACCAUGGCUAGAUUUUGGGUCGUGACAAGUUGGUAUUAAAGACUAGGUUACAUAGGUCUCACGAGUCAUGAGCGGGUUUAGUAGAGUCUUGCGUAUGGAGACGACUGUACUUAUAUUCAAGAGGCUGCAGAACCUAUAGGAGAACUUCACCUUCUUGAAUCUUAUCAUGCGAUAUUGAUUUAGCUUGAAGUGUAACUCUUUGAACUCAUUAAAUGCAUUCAUAGGCGCACAUGAGUGCUCGGUAUCAAUUUUGUAUUGAUGGAUUUUGAUUCCCUAGAUGAGGUGCGAGAUGUGAUUUCUUUGUGCUGAUGUUGGUCCAGACUGGAGGACUUGAGGUCAGGUUUUGAAUGUCGAUUAAGCACUAAGAUAUUGAUUGUGUGAACGUGUGCUUGUGGACCUGUAUGUCCGAUAGUGUCCCUGUUAGUAGAAAUAGUGAUUCAAUUGAUAUGUGAUGAGCAUGAUGUGACCGCGAGAUGAGUUCAUAUGAUUUGAGUGUGAUGAGAAGGUAUUGGUGAAGGUUACUGUAACGACCCGACCAUUCCUUUUGAGCUCUAGCGCGUCAUUCAGUAGUUGGAAGUCAUGAAUAACUUCAUUUAAGGUAUAUUGACUUGUGCGUAUGGUCAGAAUUGAAUUUCAGGAAAUUUGGAGUAAAAUUGGAAAAAUAUUUUUUAUUUCGGCAGCCUUAAGUUGAAGAAAAUGGCUAAGAUUAGAAUUUUGAGUAAACGACCUCAGAUUUGGGAUCUGAAAGUUCCAGCAUGUUAGUAUGAUGAAUUCGGACUUGGGUGUUUGUCCUGAUUUGCUUUUGAAUAACCCAUGAGAAUUUCGGCAUAUAUUGUGGAAGUUAGUAUUUUAGAAGAAUUUCAUAAAUUUGGGUUGGAAGGCAUUUCAGUGAUAUAUAUGUCUGUUUGGGAUUUCGAGUCUGGAAAUAGCUCUGUAUGGUGAUUCUAGAGUUUGGAGCGAGAUUGGAAGUGCAUUCGGAAAUUUGAAAUUUGAAAGUUUUUGAGAAAAUUCGACCGGAAGUGGAAAUUUCGGUAUCGGGUGGGAAUGCGAUUUCGAAAGUUUGGGAAAGUGCCUAAUGUCGAAUGUAACUUGUGUGCAAAAUUUGAAGUCAUUUCGGAAUGAUUUUGGUAAGGUUUGAGACACUUAGUCUCUUUAAAGGAAGCUUAAAUAGGAAAAAGUCAACCGAAUAUUGACUUAUGUGUUAGAUGGCUCGAAAUGCAAAUUUUACGGUUCGGAUAGCUUCAAUAGGUGAUUUGUGACUUAGGAGCGUGUCCGGAAUAUUUUUGUGAUGACCAGUGUAGAAUUAAGCUUGAAUUGGCAAAGUUAGCAUUUUGGCGAAUUCCAGUUGAUAGGUGAAAUUUUGAUCUGAGGGUCAGAAUGAAAUUUCGAGAGUUGUUGUAGCUUCGUUAUGUUAUUAUAGACAUGUCUGCAAAAUUUGAGGUCAUUCGGACUAGUUUUGACGUGUUUCGGCAUCGGAGGUGUAAUUUGGAAGUUCUUGAGAUUGAUAGGCUAGAAUCCGAUGAUGAUUUGAUGUUUUGAUAUUAUUUUGGGUGUUCCGAAUGUUAGAACAAGUUUGAACAAUAUUAUGGGACAUGUUUUAUAAUUGGUUAAGCUCCCGAGGGCCUCUUGUUGAUUUCGGAAGGUUAACGGAAUGAAAUUCGGACCAAAAAGAAAAGAAAAAGCUGCAGAAAUUUUUGCUGCUAAGCUAUCUUUGGACAGCAAACGUUGCAUAAUUCAGGGGCCUAUAUCUUUUAAUAUACAACGAAUUUUGAGAUGAUUCAAAUAUGAAAGUUGUAGCCCUUCGUGUCUAGUUUUCAAAAAACUAAAGUAAUUGUAAUUUGGACAUCAUUAGUGAAAGUUAUGAUCAAUUGAAAAUUACUAGUGGGGCAGUUUCUCCAGAAUUUUCUGAUUUUAUGGAGUCUAUUUUAGAAGCUCAUAUCUCGGGAUAUAUAAGAGUUAUAUGGUGUACAACCUAUCAAAUUAAACAUCUUAGAGUCUAGUUUCUAAAUUUUCAAACCGUUUUUCAUUAAGAUAUUUAUAACAUACGUUAUGGGUAUUUAAACAGAGGGUGUCCGACAAGGAACAAUUUUAAUAGGAUGUACAACCUGUACAGCACAAGUGCAAGGUACAACUCGACGAAUCACUGGCAGAUUCUUUUGAACACGUAUUUGGCUUAUUUUUUUCAUUUCUUUCAUUUGGUUUGGAUGAUUUUGGAGCGAAUUUCAAGGGGAUUUCAUAAAGCAUCAAAGGUGAGUUAUUUCUACUUAUUUUCAGGUUAAACACACUAUUAUAUAUGAAUUAGAACAUGAACAAUUAGUAGAAAAGUGGGGUUUUAUGGCAUGUGAUAUUAAGAUAUUCUAAGGUUGAUUUGAAUGGUCAAACGAGCUUCCGAUUUUUGUGUUCAUUAUAUGUGCGGACUCGUGGGAGGACGAAGAACAUUUUGGUACAGAAAUUUAUGUGUUUCGAGAUGUGGACCCGGGGCUCGGGUUUUGCCAAAUUCGUGAAUUUUGAUAUUUUUGAUUGGGUAUUGUCCCUUUAGCAUAAUGCGAAAUAUUCGAUGUGAUUUUGGGAAGAUUUGUCGCACGAGGAGACCAAUUCGAGAGACAAGGACAUAACGACCUAGACUUUUGGCCGUUUUUAGGUGAGUAAUAUUUGUGAAUGAUAUCCUAAGGGUUUGAAACCCCAAACUUUCACAUUGUAAUACUAUAUUAAGGUGUGACACGCAUUUUAUGAUGAGUGCGGGGUCGUUUACUGCCGGGGACUGUGACUUGGUCCAUCCCGAGUGUUAUUUUCUACUAUAUUAGAGAUUGAUACGCAUACUUUAUUAUUGAGAAUUAGCUUACUGCUAAGUUUGCGACCUUGUGACGGCCUGUAGAAUCCUUAGGGGAUCCUUAUGUGUUUUUCCUCACUUGUUUGCAUAAAACCAUACUCCUAGUCAUUUUUUCAACUAUUAAAAAUGUUACAAGAACUGUAUUUUUGAACAUGAAUUUUGAAUGAAAAGUAUAUGAGGGGGAAGAUCCCUAUAACUUGUUUUGCCCGAGAGAUUGUGCAUUACUUUACUGAGAUGGGUCAAGGACCCGAUGUGAGGAUGUUUAUACUUGAUAUGAAUCGGGCUACAUGCCGCAACAAUAAUAUAUUGAUAUGGAUCGGGCUGCCCCGCAGCAGUGACAUAUCAUAUGGAUCGGGCUGCACGCCGCAGCAGUGAUAUAUUGAUACGUAUCGGGUUGCAUGAAACAGCAAUGAUAUAUUGAUAUUGACGACGAGAGCCUAUUUGAUGCCAUUAGAUGGAUAAUAUUAUGCUUGGGCUAUAGGAGCCCCUAUGGAGUCUGUACACAGCCCUAGUAAGCGUUUUCGACGAUAAAUAAAUAGAGCGGGUUGCACUCCACAGUGGGAACGACAGUGUACCGUCAUAUGCAUUGCAUUGCACUCAUGCAUUUGUUCCUUAUCUGGAUUAUCUGCCAUAAUAAUUAUGUGCUCUUAUUUCAUCAUUUGGUUUCUUAAUAUCGUUUUGAGUCUGAGGGGAUGAUACUGUUCUGAGAUAUUGAUAUUGCACCCGAGAGGCUGAUGUUGUACCUUGUCAGUUAAGAGUGAGCCCGAGAGGCAUAUGUUGUACUUUGUGAGUUGGGAGUGAGCCCGCGUGGCUGAUACUGUACUGAGAGGUUGGUAUUGAGCCCGAGGGGCAGAUUUUUGAUAAUUUCUUACUUGUUGAAAUUAUUUUCGCAACUGUUGAAAGGAUCAUUUUCAAAAAGAAUUUUUAAACUAAGCCAAGAUAUUUCUAAAGAUUUCACAGUUUUCACUGAUUUUCUCAAAUUAAGGGUUUUUUCUGCUUCUAUGUAGCAUGACGAUAUGUUUUACGUGAUUUCUUACAACUCAGUUGUUAUUUACUUUUAUUACUCACUGGGUUGGAGUUCUCACUUUACUCCCUACACCUCACGUACAACUGCAGGUAUUGAUCACCCGGUAGUGGGAUAUUAGCUAAUUGAAGGUAUUACUAUUGUAGUUGAGCAAGGUCGCCAGCGUUCGCGGCACCAGGCAUUGUCUUUAGAAUUUCAGAAUUUAAUUUUGUAUAUUAUUGGCCAUGUAGUUGUGCUCAGGUUUGCUUUAGAUGCUCGUCACUUGUGACAUCCUGAUCAGGUUAUGUUGGUUGUAAACACUGGUUAUUAUUGUAAUUAAGUUGUAUUUAUCUAUUCAUUUAUGUUUAUUAAUUGUUAAGAGAGGAUUUGUAUUAGUUGGCUUGCCUUAUCUUCACGAGAGGCGCCAACACGACUGGGUUAGGAAAUUGGGUCGUGACAAUUUGGAAUCAGAGCCUACGUUACUACAUCUCACGAGUCAUGAGCAGGUUUAGUAGAGUAUCGCAGAUCGAUACGGAGACGUCUGUAUUUAUCUUGGAGAGGCUGCAGAACCUUUAGGAAAACUUCACAUUCUUGAAUUCUUAUGCUACGUCCUUGAAUCAUCUUGAAGAGAAACUUUUGAAAUUCCUUCCACGCAUUCGCAUGCGCGCAUGAGUGCUUGGUAUCAUACAUUCCCUCAUGGCUUGUAAUUUUCCCGAUCGAGGGGCGAGAUGUGAUUUGUAUGAGUUGAUGUUGGGCCAGUCUUGAGGACUUGAGGCCUGAUCUUCACUUAUGGCUUGAGAACCAAGGUGCUGAUGGUACGAGCUAGUGUUUUGAACUUAUAUGUUGAGUAUUGUCACUAAUGAUGGGAGUGAUGGCUGGAUAGCUAUGUGAUGAAUAUGUUAGUAUUGCAUAAUGUUUUAAUAUGACGUGGAAGAGUCGAGGAAGAUUUGCUAGAUGAGAGGUAAACUACUAAGUGUUCGAUUUCCAUUGUGGUUGGAAGUGUAGCUCCGAGUUAUGGGUGCAUGAAGAAUCCUUUCAUGUAACUUAGUUGGUAGUGAAGUAAAUUUCAUGUUACGGUAUGAGUUUAGACUCAGGAAGACUAAGUGAUUAUGUAAUGUUUAUGACGGUGGAAGGUAUACAAAAAUGUUAAAUGGAGGCAAAGCAGGUGGGUUAUCUCAUGUGGAAUAAUCUACGUUGGUGUGUUCCUUAUAAUGUUGAGUAGAGAGUUUCUAUUCUACUGACAGUAUGUAUGUGAUGAGAUUUGAAUUUGACUCUGAUUGAGAAAGGAGUUGAUUUUCACGAGAAUGAAUGUGAUCUUAGUAGUGGAAUUGAGGUAUUUUACGGUAUGGGUUACCUAAGCUUGUGAAGAAUUUUUGUUGAACUAGUUAUAGUAAUAUGGAAAUGUUCUUGAGUUUGAUGACCUAUGUGGCCUGGUUGAAUUAGAGGAAUUUAGUUAUGAUAGCUUGAUUAGGAGAAAAUGGAUUUCCAUGUGUUCUUGAUGGUUUCUACCAUGGUUUAAACCAGACACUUUCUACAGGUAUGGGGAAUGUGUUGUGUAUUGUGAGUUCCUAUAUAUUUCUUCAUUAUUGAUGGAGUACGAAAGUUUUAGAGUGAGGUUCUGUUUAAUGUGUGCUUUCCUACUGGUACUUGGUUGCUUUGAGUGGUUAUGGUGAUCGAGAAUGGUGUUACGAGUAUACGAGUUGUGUAGUAUGUUAUGCGAUUAUAUCAGGAUUAUUGUUAUGGCUUGACACAGUUUGUUCGGACUUAUUGAGUGUGUGUUGUGAGAUUCGGGGCUUGAAAAGAAUUCUGGAUGUUAGACUAGGGUUAUUGUUAUGGCUUGACACAGUUUGUUCGAACUUAUUCAGUGUGUGCAUGUGAGAUUAGGGUCUUGUAAAGAAUUUUGGAUGUUAGAAAUUGGGCUACAAAGAUUUUGAGUAAGGUUAAAAUAAUAUUUAUUAGUCACUAUAAUGGGUUUAAUGUGUUUCGGAAUAAUUGGUUCCAACUUUGUUUUAUGAAUUAUAUGCCCUACCGGUAUGAGGGUUUGUUAUGUGCUAUGAAAAGAAAAAUGACUACGAAAUUUAUUGAGAAUAACAAAGAAAGGAAAUUGAAAACUGUAGUUGGCAAAAUGUGAAAUAUUUAAAUCGGGCUGCAAGCCGCGGUGGAGGUUAUGUAAGGACGAGGUCCUUGUGGUAAAUAUUUAUGAGUUUAAAGUUUCCCUUUGUAAAGUUCAAUUCGUACGAUAAUAUUAAAAGGGAGUCAUGCCAGUUAGGUUGAUUUGAUAAUUCUUGUAUACUUUAUGUUCAUAUUAAGCCAUUUUCGUACUGUAAACAUUGAGUUUUAGCUUAUUAGAUGAGUUAUUAGGUGGCGUUAAAUGUGACUCAUUAAUCCGAGUAAGUAAUAAUGAGGUCUUCAUGCCUCACAUUCUAUUGUCAGUAUUGUAAAAAUUUGAAAUGAGGUGGUGGUUAAAAUGAGAUUUAUUGAUAAUGAUGGAAUUAUUUAUGAACAACUAUUAAGAGUGACCAUACAAAUGAUGUGUUUCAUGUCAAGAUAUCAUUGUGAUAAUGUUGGGCUUGUAAUGCAGAGAUUAGUGUUAUCGGUGUACUUGGGGUACUUGUUGGGUCGUGGACAUGUUGUUAGGAGUUGUUUUAGUGUUACUCUGACAGUUGGAUAGGCCCAAUUAUAAGGGAGACUCUGCCAAAAUAUUUUAAAAAUAUGGGAGUUAGUCAAAAUUUGGGGACUUAAGAAAGUUGAAAUGUUGGAAGAAUAUCUAAGAUUUAUAUGAAAUCGUUCGGUUUAUUUGGUUGUAGAUUGUGAGGUGUUAUCCCGUCUAUGGUGGUAGUUCUUACAUGUUAUGAGAAUAAAUGAUUUAUUACGGAUCCAGGAAAGACUAUUAACCUAGUUUGGUGUGAUCAGAAUCGACCUAAAGUGGGUGAAUGGAUUUAAAUAGGAUUAUGGGCUUCAUAUGAGUCAGAUAUGUUAAUUUCUGUAUAGCACUCCUCAAUGAGGGUGUUUUACUAUCAUAUGUUGUUCCAUGUUCAUCAAUUCAUGUAAUAUUGUGAUUUUGCCAUGUGUGCUGUGAAACGGCUUGAUAAAUUCCUAUUCUCUGGAGAAAAGUUCAUAUUAGUUGUAUGGGUUGAGCAGUUCAUUCCUGAAUCAUUUCCUUAUGUAUCUUGUUCACGUUAUGGCCUAUUGGCGCAUUUUUGCAUCAUGUGAGACCGUUGGUCAUUGUCUGUGGUGAUUGGUUGUCUGAGAAACUGGUACUAGGUGAGGCGAGACUAUUGGUAUCGGGAACCAUUGUAGUGGAAUUAUUUGAGGUAUAUUACAGGGCAGUUACCAAUAUUUGGGUAGUAAUGAGGUGAUGUUUUUAGUCAAAAGGAGAGAAUUAAUGUUGGGUUAACUCUGCAAUUGGUUAGAAAUUUCUGUACAUCUCCUCGGUUGUGGUUGUAUCGUCAGCAUUAUAAAAGAAUGUAUAGGUAUAUCAUCAAAUGAUUAGGAGCAUAAGAGUUGUGGAAUUUUGGCUAUUAAGGUUCAUGGAGUGUCAUUGUGGUUAGAUGGUGAAUUAUACGAUGCAUGGUGCUAAUUCAACAAAGGUACGCAGUCGUGUUCUGGUACCUGGUGUGGUAGUUGAUACAGUGUUUAUAUACGGGGAACAUGUCUGGCAGAGAAUUUGACGUGUUGGAAUUGGGUUUCAAGCUUAUUGUAUGGAUAAAAGAGGAUAUUUGCAUAUUUGAUCAAACUAAUGUGUCCAUAUGAGUUGUGGUAGCAGGGCAGGUGUGAUUUUGAGCAUAAUGCGACAUAUUAGUUGUGAUUUUGAGCAGAUUCGUCGUAUGAGGAGGUCAAUUCGAGAGGCAAGGGCAUAAUGAGCUAGACUUUUAGCCUUCUUGAGGUGAUUAAUGCUUGUAAAUGAUAUCCUGAGUGUUUGAAACCCAAACUUUCACAUCGUAAUGUUAUAUUUAGGUGUGACAGGCAUUUUAUGACGAGUGCAGGGUCGUUUACUGUUGGGGAUUGUGACUCUGUCCAUCCCGAGUGAUAUUUUCUUCUAUAUUGGCGAUUGAUACGCAUACUUUAUUGUGGAGAAUUGAGCUUACUGCUAUGUUUAGGGCCUUGUGCCGACUUGUAGAAUUCUUUGGGGAUCCUAAUGUGUUUUUCCUCACUUGUUUACAUAAAACCAUACUCUCGGUCAUGUUUCAACUGUUAAAAUGUUAUAAGAACUAUAUUUUUGAACAUGAAUAUUGAAUGAAAAAUAUAUGAGGGAGAAUAUCCCUAUAACUUGUUAUGCCCGAGAGGUUGUGCAUUACUUGACUAAGAUGGGUCGAGGACCCGAUAGUGAGGAUGUUUAUACUUCGUAUGGAUUGGGUUGCACCCCGCAGCAAUGAUAUAUUGAUAUGGAUCAGGCUGCACGCCACAGUAGUGAUAUAUUGAUAUGGAUCGUGUGGCACGCCGCAGCAAUGAUAUAUUGAUACAGAUCGGGCUACACGCCGCAACAGUGAUAUGUUGAUAUUGAGGCCGAGAACCUAUUUGAUUCCAUGAGAUGGCUAAUAUUGCGCUUGGGAUGUAGGAGCCACUCCGGAGUCUGUACACACAAGCGACGUCGAUGAUAAAUAAAUAAAGCGGGUUGCACGCCGCACCGGGUACUAGAAUGUACCAUCAUAUGCAUUGCAUUGUACUCAUGCAUUUAUUACUUAUCUGAAUUAUCUGCCAUAAUGAUUAUGUACUCUUAUUUCAUCGUUUGGUUGCUUCAUACCAUUCUAAGCCUGAGGGGCUGAUACUGUUCUGAGAUACUGAUAUUGAGCCCGAGAUGCUGAUGUUGUACCGUGUGAGUUAGGAGUGAGCCCGAGAGGCUGAUAUUGUACUUUGUGACUUGGGAGUGAGCCCGUAGAGGUGAUACUGUACUGAGAGGUUGAUAUUGAGCCCGAGGGGUAGAUUUCUGAUUAUUUCAUACUUGUUGAAAUUAUUUUCCCAGCUGUUGAAAGGAUCAUUUUCAAAAGAUUUUUUAAACUAAGCCAACAUAUUUCUAAAGAUUUCACAGGUUUGACUGAUUUUCUCAAAUGAAGGGUUUUUCUCUUCUUCUAUACAUCAUGACGAUAUGUUAUACGUGAUUUCUUACCACUCAGUUGUUAUUUACUUUUAUUACUCACUGGGUUAGACUACUCACUUUACUUCGUGCACCUCGCGUGCAGCUCCAGGUAUUGAUCACCCGGUAGUGGAAUAUUAGCUUAUUGAAGGUAUUGCUAUUGUAGCUGAGCAAGGUGACCGCCAGCGUUCCCGGCACCAGACAUUAUCUUUAGAAUUUCAGAGUUUCAUUUUGUAUAUUAUUGGCCCUGUAGUUGUGUUCAGGUUUUCUUUAGAUGCUCGUGACUUGUGACAUCCCGGUCCGGUUAUGUUGGGCUUUAAACACUAGUUAUUAUUGUCGUUGAGCUGUAUUUAUCUAUUCAUUUAUGUUUAAUAAUUUUUAAAGAGACGAUUUGGAUUAGUUAGCUGGCCUUGUCUUCAAGAGAUGUGCCAUCACGACCAGAUUAGGAAAUUGGGUCGUGACAAGUUGGCAUCAGAGCGUACGUUACUAGGUCUAACGAGUCAUGAGCAGGUUUAGUACAUUCUCGCGGAUAGGUACGGAGACAUAUGUAUUUAUCCUCGAGAGGCUGCAGAACCUUUAAGAAAACUUCACAUUCUUGAAUUCUUAUUAUGCAUCCUUUAUUCAGCUUGAAAAGUAACUCUUGAAAUUCCUUCCACGCGUUCGUAUGCGCGCAUGAGCGCUCAAUAUCAGAUGUGUCUUGAUGGCUUGUGAUUCCCUGAUCGAGGGGCGAGAUGUGAUCUCGGUGAGUUUGAUGUUGGGCCAGUCUGAAGGACUUGAGGCCAGAUUCCUUCCACGCAUUCGCAUGCGCGCAUAAGUGCUCGGUAUCAGACGUGCCCUGAUGGCUUGUGAAUUUCCUAAUGCGCCUGCAGUACCCAUUAUCUCUAUGUUACUACAGCUAGUUCAACAAAAAUUCUUCACAAGAUUAGGUAACAUAGACCGUAAAAUACCUCAAUUCCACUACUAAGAUCACCUUCAUUCUCGUGACAAUCAACUCAACUUUCUCAAUUAGAGUCAAAUUCAAAUCUUAACACGUAAAUCCUGUCAGUAGAAAACAAACUCUCUACUCAACAUUAUAAGGAACACAGAUACGUAGAUUAUUCUGCAUGAGAUAACCCACCUGCUUUGCCUCCAAUUAAAAUUUUUGGAUACCUACUACCGUCAUACAUAUUACAAAAUCACUUAGUCUUCCUGAGUCUAAACGCAUACUGUAACAUGAAAUUUACUUCACUACCAACUUGUUAGAACGAGUGCUUAACGCUAGAGGGGCGGUGAAUAGCGUUUAUAAAAAUUUUGCGAAAUUAAAUACGAGUUGCGGAAUUGAAAACUGCAGGAAUUAAAUAAGUGCGGAAAUUAAAUGAGUAAGGAAAGAACACACCGAUGUAUACUGGUUCGCCACACCUUGUGGUUAGUCCAGUCCCCGAGAGACUCUCUCGAGAUUUCCACUANNNNNNNNNNNNNNNNNNNNNNNNNNNNNNNNNNNNNNNNNNNNNNNNNNNNNNNNNNNNNNNNNNNNNNNNNNNNNNNNNNNNNNNNNNNNNNNNNNNNNNNNNNNNNNNNNNNNNNNNNNNNNNNNNNNNNNNNNNNUACCUAACAAACCGUUACACUUGAGAACUUGAAUCCCACAAGUCUCAAACAACCUUGCUCGAGGAUACCUCACCCCAAGACUUCUCUGUUAAGCUUACAGGUGCCUAACGAACCGUUACAACCUGAGAACUUAAAUCACACAAGCCUCAAACAACCUUGCUCGGAGAUACCUCACUCCAAGACUUCUCAAGAAGAAAUACAGUAUUCCCUCUUGCAGCAAGUGUAUGCAAACACUUCCUACUCACUUAAACAAUACUCUCUUAACAGAGUGAAUAUGAGUACAAAAUAAUCAGCUCAAGAACACAACAACUUAAUCAAAGAUUGGCUCUCAAAAAUAAUGAAUUUAGAAUGAAAUGAUAUGCAANNNNNNNNNNNNNNNNNNNNNNNNNNNNNNNNNNNNNNNNNNNNNNNNNNNNNNNNNNNNNNNNNNNNNNNNNNNNNNNNNNNNNNNNNNNNNNNNNNNNNNNNNNNNNNNNNNNNNNNNNNNNNNNNNNNNNNNNNNNNNNNNNNNNNNNNNNNNNNNNNNNNNNNNNNNNNNNNNNNNNNNNNNNNNNNNNNNNNNNNNNNNNNNNNNNNNNNNNNNNNNNNNNNNNNNNNNNNNNNNNNNNNNNNNNNNNNNNNNNNNNNNNNNNNNNNNNNNNNNNNNNNNNNNNNNNNNNNNNNNNNNNNNNNNNNNNNNNNNNNNNNNNNNNNNNNNNNNNNNNNNNNNNNNNNNNNNNNNNNNNNNNNNNNNNNNNNNNNNNNNNNNNNNNNNNNNNNNNNNNNNNNNNNNNNNNNNNNNNNNNNNNNNNNNNNNNNNNNNNNNNNNNNNNNNNNNNNNNNNNNNNNNNNNNNNNNNNNNNNNNNNNNNNNNNNNNNNNNNNNNNNNNNNNNNNNNNNNNNNNNNNNNNNNNNNNNNNNNNNNNNNNNNNNNNNNNNNNNNNNNNNNNNNNNNNNNNNNNNNNNNNNNNNNNNNNNNNNNNNAUUUCUGACAACGUUUUGAAUAAACCAGAUUGUGUAAUAAAUUCUCAACUAACAGAUCUUGACUUUUAAGAACAAAAAUGAUUGUAAAAAUCUGUUCGGGAUUUUGCAGCUUCAACAAUCGAUUGUUGCAUGAAGACAAUCGAUUGUCAAUUUGAAUUUUAAAAGCAUUUUUGACAACGGUACUACGACAACUGAUUGUUAGACUGUGACAAUCGAUUGUUGUGAAUUAUAGAAGAUUUUGAAAACACACUGCCUCGUGACAAUCGAUUGUUAAACCAUGACAAUCGAUUGUUUUGCAUUUUGGAAAAUUUUAGUAACUCACUGCCUCAAGACAAUCGAUUGUUUAGUUAUGACAAUCGAUUGUUUUGCUACUUUGAAAAAUUCAUUGAGACACUGUCUCAUGACAAUCGAUUGUUUACCACUGACAAUCGAUUGUUAGCUAUUUCCAAAAAUUCAUUUAAGCACAGUCUUAAUAAAAUCGAUUGUUUAAAACUUCCAGUUUAGGCAGUCUUUAUGACAAUCGAUUGUUGGUCUGUGACAAUCGAUUGUUGUUAGUCCAGAUUCAAAAUACAAGUUUUAAAAUUAUUUUGGCUAAAAUGCAACUUAUUUGUUUGAACAUAAAGAUGCAUGAUUUGAUGAAAAAUGAUUUUAUGUGAGAGCCAAUAUUAGAAUAUGUCGUUGAGUCAAGAUUACAAAAUAGGACGACUCAACAGUUAACUUCAUUUGCAAUUCUCGACCUUGUACUGUUUCUCUUGUACUUGGACUGUUAUUGUUCCAUCCUCGUUGGUUUGUCAUUUAUCAAAACCUACAUGAAUCAACACACGUUUAGAUUGAGAACGUGAUUCAACAAUUUCCCCCUUUUUGAUAAUGGCAAACCUAUAUCGGGAUAUGCAUAAUAAUAACAGUUCAAGAUAUGACUAUAUGCAUAACAGUUCAAGAUACGUGUUCCCCCUCAAUUUAUGAUUCCCCCUCAAUGUAUGCAAAUAUAUCAAAGUGUGCAUGGGAAAUAUAUUAUAGUAUGUAUGCAUGCAUAGCCCGUUAUCUUCCCCCUUUUGACAUUAACAAAUAUUUAAAAAGAUAAAGUAGUACAUGAUCAACAAGAUACCAAAAUUAAACAGGGCAGAACAUAAGCUGAAAUUUCAAAAUACAACAAGAAAAUUUUUAAUCAUCAUUAUCCUCUUCGUCGUUGACGUUGUCUGGCGCAGUUUGAUAUGGAACAAGAGCAGCAUAUGGAUAAUUGACAUAAUCAAAAUAUCCAUGAAGUUCAAAUCUCAGUUGAGAAAUUUGGUCUGAGAUUGAUUGGAGAGUAGGCUCUUGAGUACGACGAGGUUGAGGACGAGGACGAGGAGGAGGAGGAGCAGCUUGUUCACCAAUAGUGGGAAAAGAAGAUUCUGAAAUUUCCCAGUGCUUAGUAGAUUUGUUGAUCGGGCCAUUGGUGGUGAUGAAACCAGUGGCUUCAAGAAAGUUCAUGAUAAGAAGAGCGUAGGGAAGAGGUUUAUCGUCUCCAGUGGCAUUGAACAUGUGAACUUUAAUGAACUUGCACCAAUUGAUGCGAGCUCCGCUUAUUAUGGCAUGAAGAAUUUUGGCGUCCUCUUGAGAAAUAGUAGUGUGGCUAUGCUUACAGGGUUUGAGCACACGAGUUAUGAAGUAAAAGAUCAAACGGUACUCAGGGAGCAUCCCCGUGAUGGUGGGACGACGAGAGGUGACUCUAGGAUCAAAAUGCCCAAGCCCGAUUUGAUUUAGAGGGGGUUGCUCAUCCCAAACCCCAUCUUGAAAGUAUCUAGAAAGAUCUUCCCCAUCUUGAGGAAGUCCACACAGUGUUUGAAGAUUUUCAUCAGAAAUGAGAAUUUGGAUACCAUUGAUGGUUGUAGUAAGAUCACCAUCAUCAUCUUUCUUAAGAUUGGAAUAAAAAGCUCUAAUAUAUGGAUGAUGAACGUGUGGAUGUGUAAGGAGUAAAAAAUCAGCACUGCUUCCCCGAAGCAUAUUCGCUGCGAGAGCAUUCGAUUCAAGAAAUUGGGUAGUAGAAAAACGAGGAGGUAAGAUGUCUCGGCUUUCGAAUUUGGACAUGAACCGAGUGUAUUCUUCAUGAGACAAGAAUUUUAAAUAUGAACGUCUUGAUAGGGAAAGACGGGAGUAGAGGAGGAGGCAACAUCUUUGCCUGAUCGGGAACGUUUUUGGUGGUGUCUUGACAUAUUGAUAGAGAGUUAAAGACGGAUUUUUGUGAGAAAUUGGGAGAGUUUUGAAGUUUUGAUCUUGAUUUGAAGUGAUAAAAGUGAAGAAAUCAGCCCCAAUUUAUAGAGUGGGAGUAGAUAACAAUAAAUGAAAAGAUUGGGCAGAAAUUGAAGUCUGAAACGUUAAAAUUUUGAAUUUCUGCCGCAGAACAAUCGAUUGUUGAGCUGUAACAAUCGAUUGUUAUGGAAUAAUUUGAAUGGUACUCUGACUUGUCAGUAAUUAAUCGAUUGUGGAAUCUUUCAGAAGUCAGAACGGCAAAAUUUUGAAUUUGACAAUCGAUUGUGGAGCCUAAACAAUCGAUUGUUAAGCGAUUUGAAUUUUGGUAAGAAGAGCAACAAUCGAUUGUUGAAUAUGGACAAUCGAUUGUGGACAGGCAGUGAGUAUUUCAUUUUUCAGAGAUUUUGAAACAAUCGAUUGUAGCUGAGAGACAAUCGAUCGUAGCUGAGGCAGAGAGUUUUAUGGUCCUGAAAAAAUGUUGAAUAAUCGAUUGUGAUGGUGAGACAAUCGAUUAUAAGGUCCAAUGAAGGAUGACAAUCGAUUGUGGAUAUGUAACAAUCGAUUGUGAGCAGGCAAAACGAUAUAAGAACCUUAAUGAAUAUUUUGACAAUCGAUUAUUGAAGAAUGACAAUCAAUUGUAGGAAGGUAGUGCCAAACGAACAAAGACAGCAAAAGACAAAUGAUUUUGCAGAUUGAUCAAUCGAUUAUAUAUCAAAACUUAUAAAACUGAAUCUA